GUGUUCCAAGCAUCGAGUGCACAAUCAAUGGAUACUCUUUUCAGAAGACACUCUACGACACCGGAUCUGACGACAACAUAAUGGCCGCAGUCACUUAUCAGCUCCUGCAUGGAACCAUGCCCCUACAGCCAAUAUAUAUUCAGCUCCAGAUAAUUUUUAGGUCAUUGACAUGGUAGAAGACGAGUAUGAUCCACCCACCAUCCUUGGAAGACCGUUCCUCAACACUAUCAAAGCCAUGAUCUAUAUUGGAACCAGAGAAGUCCACAUGCACUUCCCUCUGAAGAAAGCGACGCAACCGCUACCAGAGGAGGCAAAUCAUCAAGGACGGAUGGGCAGACUACGAAGGAGAAGUAGUAAGGUCUGAAGACAUACAGCUUGAACAGAACUGUCCUGAGGAGACCGUAGCACCAAGUCAGGUGUGGAGAGAGAAGAUAGUUAUACACGAAGAGGAGGCGCCACCGGAACCACCUACUACGCCAUCCAGCGAAUCCCAGGACGAGUGAGAAAAUGGAGAGUCCCGUUCGGAGGACUUAAAAACACCGAAUGCCUUGCAAAGAGGUAAACUUGGUAGUUAUCCUUUUUCCUUUCAACUAUUUAAAUAGUUUGCUUAGUUAAUCAGGUUCAUAUCAUCUCGAAAAGAAAAUAAAAAUGUUAAAAAUAGUAAGCAACAUGUGAGUAUGCUCAUGGCAUAAAACCCAUAAGUACAUUCACUGUGGUGGCAUAAAGAUAAAUUAAAUAUAUUCCUGUCCUAUAAAAAUGAAAAUAUAAAAAUAAAUUUGUGAUCCUACCAAGUAAUAUUUAUUGAUGAGGCUCAACAUGAUAAAGGCUAGAUAUUUAUGCUAACACUUAACCAGUUCCACAAAGCUUUGUUGUCUAUUUGAGCUCCACAGAAUUGAAGGAUCAAAAAAGACUAGCAGACGGAGGACAUCCUAAUCGCUGUCAGGGUGCUACCAACAUUCAAAUACACCUCCGUCACUUGCUAGCUACAUCAGAAGAAAUUACAUCAAAAUCCAGCUAAGUGUGCAGCUAACAUUCAAAUACACCUCCGUCACUUGCUAGCUAAGUGUUUCUACUCGCGUUUAUACUUUACUCAAAUAAUAAAAAGAUGCAUAAUCAUAAAAGACCCAAAUAAAGAUUUUGUGCUUUUAUAUAUAUCUUUGCUUAGUUUGCUAAAUAAAUAAAUAAAUAAAGUUUGCUAUGAACCCUUAAGAUAAGCUCUCACAUGGAAAUGAUGAAUAGUUGCUCUCCCAUGACUAGUUCUUAAAAUUGAAAUCUCUCUCAAGUUUAGGCAUAACUGUUAUAAUUUAAACCAGCUCUAAACCUGAACUGUGGGAAAACUACUUGAUCUAAAGUCUAAAGUCAUUAACGGAUAUGAUAUGGGAAGGUUGAGCUGCUGUUUAUCUAUUCCUAGAGAUGCUAGAAUUUAGGAGAAUUUUAACUUUGAAAAUCUUUAAAAUAACACAUGAUGAGUUCCUGUAUGAUGAGAGUUUAAAAUCCUACCACAGCCAUAUAUACAUGCUUAUUAGACUAUGAACCAUACAUUUACUUUUUUUACUGCCUAUGAGCAGUGAGUGUGGUCAAGCUGUGUAGACCCUUAGGAGCUUGUCAUGCGGUUAAAAUCAAGAUUCACUUGCACGUUCACUCAUACAUGCUACUUGUACUCCAGAAGUACGCAUCCACAUACAUCCACUCAAUUCCAUCUCCAGAUUCACCCAAAAUUAUUCUACUCCUAUCCAGGAGAGAAUAGCCAAAAAUAUUUUCCUUCCCUAUUAUUCCCUGUGAAAUAAAUGCUCGAGUUAUCUUGGUUACUACCACUUGCUAUAUUAUUUCAGGAGAUGAGUGCUCUAAAAAAAAGAAAAAAAGAAAAAAAUACGAGGAAAUAAAAAGGGGCAAGUUUCCGGAACCUCGAAGAAAAGAAAAAGUGAGACAAGAGGUAAAAAUGGACAAGUGUGUGACAGUAGAAUUAGGGGUACAAGAUACCCACCUGAGAGAAAAGAAAAAGAAUAUAUAGAGCAUCUCAUUCUCCUCAAAAAGCUUCGAAGUGCAAGAAAGGUAUGUAUCCCCUUAAAAGAGCAAAAGUAGAAUUAGACUUUCACCACUGUUAUCACCAUCAUCACCAUACACCAUUCAUUCGCCACACAUGCAGAUCUUGAUUUGACUUAUUGACUUGUUUCUCUGGAUCCAUGGUUUGACUAUGCAAUAAAUGUCUUGUAAGUAUGUAUUAUCUGUCUCCCACCUAUGAGCUCCAGAUAUCAAAACCUUAUUAGAGUAGGGUGAGAGAGAAGGCAAUAUCACUAUGCCUCAUACCAAAAAUACCAUAUACUUUGAGAGAAGGCAUAUACCAUUACUGCCUUGUAAAGGAUCCAGAAAUUCCAUAAAAAAGAAAUUUGAGAGAGUCAUACAAGGAAUCUCUGAGUUUUAUUUGAAAAUCUGCAAAAACUCCAGAGCUAUAGCUGAUCAAGAAUAAGAGACAUGGCGCUUGACUUGACCGUUCUAUCUUUUAACAGCUCAAGACACAAGUGACGGUUACAAGCCCCAUGGUGAAAGGUAAAAUGAGUAAGUUUUAAGUCUUACUUUUAAGGCAUGAAACCACUGCAGAAACUCUUAAGUUCAUCCUUGCUCAGGGACGAGCAAGAGGUAAGCUUGGGGGAGUUGUUGACGGUCCUUAAGUACCAAAUAUAAUCAUCAAAUAAAUAAAGAAAAGGAUCCAAAUGCAACCAACACCCAGACUUAGGGUUGUCGGUUACCAGAUUAGGAGCAUUAAUUGCGGAGAAGACAUCAUUACUGCAGAGAAUUUCGGAGCAUUAAUAGUUUUAUACUCCGAAACUGGGGGGCAUGUGUUGACACCAUUUUUGGGCACGUGUCCAGGAUGGCAGGACAGGGUGGCAGUACGAUGCGGGUUGCUGGUAAGGAUGGUUGCCGAUGAGGGAAAGGUUGAAUGUGACUAAGUCCUCAGACAGUAAUAUGGUGCCGAUGUCCAAGUAAAAGGGUCUGCCGAUGACUAUGGCAAGGGGAUUGCCGAUGACGCGAAGGAGGAGUCCGGAAGCUGCCAGUUGUCAUGUGGAGGAGUUUCGGUUUGUCACGAAGGAUGGUUUUAUUAUUUCCUUAUGUUAUUCGUAUCGUUUUGUAUACGGGUUCCGUGUGAUUUGGAAUUCGAAUUCUAAUCGUGUCUGGUCGUAGCUCUUUGAGCAGGGUAUAAAUAUAAGCCCUAAGACCUUGUAAUCAGAAUAUCUAUCAAUCAAUCAAACACACGUUUUUUUUACUCAUAUUCCAGCAUCUACUUUUCGACGACUUUGUCAUACGUUUUCUUUUUGUUACGAGUUCUUAGGAAUUCGUCGACUCAAGCUCGGCGUAUCCUCAAGUUCCGCGUGAGUACCUCUUAGCCGUGACAUCCGGGCGUAUCGCUGUUGUCAGGACUAAAGUAUUCGAGUUAUCACCUUUACCGAUAGUAAGGUCAAAUCGGCUGGCACGCCUUAACGUUUGGAUCGGGUAUUAGCCCUUUGUGUUUGCAGACUAGUUUUUGCAUCAACACAUCUUCUGGCACGCUCGGUGGGACCGAUUCAAGAUCAAGAUCAACAUGUCGAUCUCUGACCUCGAUCAAGACAACGUCAUCCCCGUGACGGAAGCUAACCUCAAGGAUGAGCAGAAGCAAGCUAUUGCCCAAGCCAUGGAAGAGUUCAAGCAGCAGUGCCUGAAGUCUUUCAGCAUAAACAGGAGCGGCGAAGUGGUCCAGAAAGAUGCACUGCCGGCACCACGGCAGGUCACCUUUGAUGCUAAUCCUGGCAAGCUUCAAGACAUGGUUGACAAUGCCAUCAAUCGAGCGCUGAUCAACCAAGCUGGUGUACUGUCUAAUACGGUUUUCAACGCCGUGGCAAGAACCUUCAAGGAAGGACAAAUCCCGCCGGAUUAUGUGGGCCCUUCCCAUCAUCAACCCACGGCACCAGAGGUCACGGCUCCAUCGGCUGCCUUGACGAGUGCAAGUGCACAGUCUGCCGUCCCUCCAAGUACAUUGGGGACUACUGGUGCACUAUCUAUGCCGAUGGUAACCAACCCACAAAUUUCAGUUGGGCAGCAUAAACUGACAACAGAUAUGUUGGCAUCGGCAAUGUCGGGGUUAACUCUUCCUCCCAACUGGUGGGGUUAUGGUAUGCCUCCAGAGUUGACUCCAGGAACAUCACAGAUAACUGACAUGAGGGGCAAAACUCCUAUGACAUCGGUACCUUCCAAUGUGCCGGUGAACCAGAGUCCUCGGUAUACCACAACUACUACCGCAAGGCCUCACACUGGAAAUCCUCAAGAUCUAAUGUUCCAGAUGCCCAACGCAUCGGCAGAGUCAAUGCUGAUGCAACAGAGGCCUAUGGCCCAGUCGGGGUAUGUCAAUUCAACGACGAUACCCAAUUACCAACCAUCGGCAGCACCUAUGCCGAUGAACGCUAAUAAUGGAUGGCUUGGACAGCAAACCUUUCCACAGUCGCCCCAGCAGGGUUAUCAGACUACGGGGUUCCAGCAAGGGCAGGUUUAUCCCGGGUUCCAAGGUCAGGGAAUUCCCAACCAGCCAAUAAAUUUUGGACAGCAACUCGGAGGACAGCCAAUCGGUGGACAGCAGUUUGGUAGUCCGCAGAUUGGAGGACAGGUGACCAAUACGAUGUUCCAUACAGGUCACGUCCCGAACAGACACGUGGAGGUUCGCCACCAAAUGCCAGAUCCGCAGCCGCCUCAUCGGCAAGAUGCCGAUGCGUAUUGGGCCGAUAAGAUUGCCGAAGUAAUGAGGGAACAAUUUGGGAUAAAACCCAAAGUCAACACUUAUUCUUAUCGGACACCGUAUCCUCCAGCGUAUGAUUUGAUCCCGCUUCCACAUCGGUACAAAGUACCGGAUUUUACAAAGUUUUCCGGACAGGACGACACGUCAACCAUGGAGCAUGUCAAGAGGUUCAUUAUUCAAUGUGGAGAGGCUGGUAACAGGGACGAAUUGAGGGUUCGCCUAUUUUCAUCAUCAUUGUCUGGAUCGGCCUUUACUUGGUUCAUAUCAUUGCCUCCCAAUUCAGUAAUUACUUGGGCCGAUCUAGAGAAGCAAUUCCACAGAUACUUCUUCUCGGGGGUUCAUGAGAAGAAGAUCACCGACUUGGUCAAGUUGAGGCAACGUAAUGAUGAGUCGGUUGAGGGAUUUGUGCAGAGGAUACGAGAGGUCAAAAAUAAAUGCUAUAGCCUGGUUCUGGAUGAUCGGCAGCUAGCCGAUUUGGCUUUCCAGGGUUUGUUGCCACACAUCAGGGAUAAAUAUGCUUCUCAGGAGUUUGAAAGUUUAAGUCACUUGGUGCAGAGGAUAUCUGAUCAAGACAUCAAGCCUUUCGAGCCUAAGAGGGCAUGGAAUAAGAAAGUCUCAUUUGUUGAUGAAGCAACAAGCUCAGAUUCCGAUGAAGAACCAGUAAUCGGUUUGGCAGAAUGGGUAAAAAACAAGAAGCUGAUGUCUUGUCCUUUUGGGCAGAAGGAACCAGAGAAGUUUGCAUUUGACACCGCCAAGGCCGAUAGGAUAUUUGACUUUCUACUUCAGGAAGGUCAAAUCAAAUUGUCACCUAACCACAUGAUCCCGUCGGCAGAAGAGUUGAAGAGGAUGAGGUACUGCAAGUGGCAUAAUGCAACUUCACAUGAUACCAAUGAGUGCAAAGUAUUCAGACAACAGCUGCAAUCGGCCAUAGAGUCAGGGAGAAUCAAGUUUGAUAGUUCCAAAGCCCAGAAGCCGAUGAAGAUAGACCAACAUCCUUUCCCGACGAACAUGUUGGAUGCUAAGGGGAAGGCUAAGGUCUUAACGUCGGAGACAGCUGAGAAGAGUGCAUCGGUAGAUCCUCAGCAUCAAGUUACUACCGCCGAUGCAAGAAGUAAGGGCUUGGUCCAGGAAGGAGCUAGCUCAGGAAGAAUUCCUCGAUCUGGUAUUGUCAUAACUCAUAGAAGGCCUCGAGAGAGAUGGCAACAACGGGAAGAUCGGUACCGGCGCCAGCAGGAAGAUUAUCAACGGGAAGAAGAGAGACGCCGACAGGAGUGGAAUCGGCACAGGGAUCAUUGGAAUUGCCCAUUCUUCAUCCAUUGUUGGGAGGAAAAUAUCAAGCUUCCUACUGUCAGAGACUGCCCUGAAUGCAACGGUUAUGAUCGGUACGACAGGAACGAUCGGCGUUAUCAUGAUGAUGAACGACGAUUUAAUGGGCCGAUCAGAGGAAGGGCGUCAGUUCAUGAUCGGCUGGGGGGCAGGCUUAGCGUUCACGAUCGGCUCGGUGACCGUGUCCAGUAUUUUCCCAGGAACCAAGAGGAGCUUGAAAGAAUGGCUGAUGCGCGGGUUCCCGAUGAAUUCAUAUUUUGCAGGGAUACUAACACGCAUCGCAUGGAGUCAAGAGAGAACCAACGCCCGACGGCAAGACAAAGGCCACUUCCUCCAUGGUGCCCUCAAGGAUUAACCAAGACACAGAAAAGGAGAUUGCAACGUGAAAGGCAGGAAGAGCUAAAUAAAGGAGAGAACUCUGGGAGUCGGCAGCCGUCAGACGCUAAGAAAGAAGGUCCAUCGGCAGGCGUCAACAUGGUAUUCAUGUUGCCGAUGGAGUUUCUUGCACCGGCCAGUGACGAUGAGUUGGGAUUUUCUGAUCAGAUAGCUCAGUUGGCUCUGGAUCCAAUGACGGCUAUCUUUGAGAAACCUGCCGAUAACGAGAGGCAGCAUCUUAAAGCUUUGUUCCUCAAAGGAAGGGUUGAUGGGCAGCCAAUGACUAAGAUCCUAGUUGAUGGUGGGGCUGCUAUUAAUAUUAUGCCAUAUGCAGUAUAUCGGAAGCUUGGGAAAGGGGAUCAAGAUUUGACCAAGACCGAUAUGAUGCUCAAAGACUUCGAGGGAAACGUGUCUCCGGUCAAGGGGGCGAUAUGUGCGGAGUUAACCAUCGGCAGCAAAACCUUGCCGACAACCUUUUUCGUGAUCAGCGGAAAAGGUGCCUACAAUUUAUUAUUGGGGAGAGAUUGGAUUCAUGCCAAUUGUUGUGUCCCAUCUACAAUGCAUCAGUGCUUGGUUCAGUGGGUAGGUGACAAGAUUGAGAUCGUCCCAGGGGAUUCUUCUUAUGUUAUCGCAUCGGCAGAAGCGGAUACUUAUGAAAAGACUAGGUGCAUUUCAGGAGAAGUUUGGGAGAAAGAUUUUCUCAAAGUUGCCGAUUAUGAGAUUCCACCGAUCCAAGCAGUCGGUUCUGACGAUGGUUUUUAAUGGAUAGAUUCGCCGAUGAUGGAAAAUUAGGCCAGGGAUUCACAUCGACCGAUGAUUUGGUAGAAGUAGAUAUAGGUAGUGGUGAUAGGCCUAGGCCUACUUUUAUUAGCGCCAAACUAGAUCCUGAGUGUAAACGGCAAUUAACUAGUUUGUUAAAGGAAUAUAAAGAUUGCUUUGCUUGGGAUUAUACAGAGAUGCCUGGUUUAGACCGAUCAAUUGUUGAACAUCGGUUACCCAUUAAGUCUGGAUUUCGGCCACAUCAGCAACUAGCCCGCCGAUGUAAUCCUAACAUUCUACCUGAUAUUAAGGCCGAAAUCACUAAACUUAUUGAAGCUAAGUUUAUUCGGCAGUGUCGGUAUGCUGAAUGGAUUUCCAAUGUCGUCCCGGUUUACAAGAAGAACGGGAAGCUUCGGGUGUGCAUUGAUUUUAGGAAUCUCAAUAAAGCUACGCCGAUGGAUGGAUAUCCAAUGCCUGUUGCCGAUCUACUGGUUGAUGCUGCGGCUGGCCAUCAGGUCAUCAGCUUCAUGGAUGGUAAUGCGGGUUACAAUCAAAUAUUCAUGGCAGAAGAGGAUAUUCCAAAAACCGCAUUCAGGUGUCCUGGUCAUGUUGGACUAUUUGAAUGGAUAGUCAUGACUUUUGGGUUAAGGAAUGCCGGUGCUACUUAUCAAAGGGCUAUGAAUUUUAUAUUUCAUGAGUUCAUCGGCAAGAUCGUAGAAAUUUAUAUUGAUGAUGUGGUGGUCAAGUCUGGAGAUUUCUCAAAGCAUCUUGCCGAUUUACGAAGAGUGUUGGAGUGCACAAGGAAGCAUGGAUUGAAGAUGAAUCCCAACAAGUGUGCAUUUGGUGUAUCGGCAGGGCAGUUUCUUGGUUUCAUGGUACAUCAGAGGGGUAUUGAAAUUAGUCGAAGAUCUAUUGAUGCUAUCAAUAAAAUAGUGGCCCCUACCAAUAAAACCGAGCUCCAAUCUUUGAUCGGAAAAGUGAAUUUUAUCAGAAGAUUUAUAUCGAAUUUAUCUGGGAGAAUUCGUGCUUUCAGUCCUCUUCUUAAAUUGAAAGCCGAUCAGGAGUUUGUUUGGGGAAAAGAACAGCAGUUGGCUCUAGAUGAAAUCAAAAGGUAUCUAGUAAACCCUCCAGUUUUAGUUCCACCUCAACAAGGGAAACCCUUCAAAUUAUAUUUAUCUACCGAUGGAUCGGUUAUCGGUUCAGCUUUAGUUCAAGAAUUUGAAGGGAAAGAGAGGGUAAUUUAUUAUUUGAGUAGGAGGUUAAUUGAUGCUGAAACCAGGUAUUCGGCCAUUGAGAAGCUGUGCUUAUGCUUAUAUUUUUCAUGUAUCAAGCUAAGACAUUACCUGUUGUCGGCCGAAUGUGCUGUUGUUUGCAAAGAUGACGUGGUCCGAUACAUGCUAUCUAUGCCGAUUAUGAGUGGUAGAAUCGGUAAAUGGAUUUUGGCGCUGUCGGAGUUCGAUUUGCGUUACGAAUCGGCUAAGGCGGUCAAAGGGCAGGUUAUGGCCGACUUUGUGACUCAGCAUUGCAGUCUAGUGGAAACCUUGGAAAUUGCACCCUGGACGCUUUUCUUUGAUGGAUCUACCUGUGACCGGGGAGCAGGAAUCAGCAUUGUAUUAGUUUCUCCCAAGGGGAGGAAGUAUGAAUUUUCCUUGCCGAUUGUUGCUACAUCAACAAAUAAUCAGGCUGAGUAUCAAGCUCUGAUCAGGGGAUUGGAGUUGUUAAGAGAAGUUCGUGCUGAUGCUGUUGAAGUAUUCGGAGAUUCUAUGUUGGUUAUAAAUCAAUUGACCGGAAGCUAUGAAUGCCGGAGUGAAGUUCUCAUAACCUAUUUCGAGAGAAGUAUACAACUGUUAAAGGAAUUCAAGAACUUCCGAUUGGAGCAUAUUCCCCGAUUGCAUAAUGAAGACGCUAAUCGGUUAGCCCAGCAUGCCUCGGGAUAUCAGCCAAUGAUUAAUGCGACAUCGGUAGUCAGUGCCGGUGAUUGGAGGGAAGAAAUUAUUGAUUAUCUAAAAGAUCCAUCCAAAAAGGUUGAAAGACGGGUUUGAUUUCAAGCAACCAAGUAUGUGCUCCUUGAAAAUGAAUUGUAUUAUCGAACUAUCGACGGAAUUCUUCUCCGAUGCUUGGGUGAUGAUGAAGCCAGAAGUUUGAUGGGAGAAAUCCAUGAAGGAGUGUGUGGAGCGCAUCAGUCAGCUUUUAAGAUGAAGUGGAUGAUUCGAAGGAAUGGAUAUUUUUGGCCAACCAUACUUGAAGAUUGUUUUAAAUAUUUCAAGGGAUGUCAAGGUUGUCAAAAGUUCGGUAAUAUCCAGAGAGCACCCGCAUCGGCUAUGAAUCCUAUAAUAAAACCUUGGCCGUUCCGGGGGUGGGCCAUCGAUCUGAUCGGCCAGAUUUAUCCACCAUCUAGCAAAGGGCAUAAAUUCAUUCUAGUUGCCACUGACUAUUUCACCAAGUGGGUCGAAGCUAUUCCUUUGAAGAAAGUCACAUCGGCCAAUAUGAUUGAUUUUGUGAAGGAGCAUAUUAUUUACCGAUUUGGGAUUCCCCAAACGAUUACUACCGAUCAGGGCACCAUGUUCACGUCGGGGGAGUUCGAUGAAUUCGCAAUCGGUAUGGGAAUUAAAGUGUUGAAUUCUUCUCCUUACUAUGCUCAAGCCAAUGGGCAGGCCGAAGCGUCUAACAAGGGAAUUAUCAAGCUUAUUAAACGAAAGAUUGAAGAAAAUCCUAGGCGGUGGCAUACAUUGUUGAAUGAAGCACUAUGGUCUUAUCGGAUGGCUUGUCAUGGAUCAACCAAGGUGUCACCUUAUCAAUUGGUGUAUGGACAUGAUGCAGUUUUGCCUUGGGAGAUUAAGGCUGGAUCUAGGCGAUUAUCUUUUCAAGAUCAAUUGGCUGCCGAUGAUUAUGCCACUUUAAUGACCGAUGAGUUAGAUGAUUUAGCAGGGCAUCGGUUAAAGGCUUUAAUGAGUAUAGAAGAAAAUAAGAAGAGAGUUGCCAGAUGGUAUGAUAAAAAAGUGAAGGCCAAGGAGUUUGCCGAUGGGGAUUUGGUAUGGAAGUUGAUUUUGCCAGUCGGGACUAAAAGUUCAAAGUUUGGGAAGUGGUCUCCUAAUUGGGAAGGUCCUUAUCGGAUAAAACGCUCAGCUCCUGGUAAUGCCUAUAUUCUAGAAACUCUCGAAGGAGUUGAAUUUCCCAGAGCGUUAAAUGGCAAAUAUUUGAAGAAGUACUACCCCAGCAUAUGGAUCGAUGCAUAAAAGGUUAAGUGCCGAUAACACUCCUAUCGGCUGAAUUUAAAUGUUCAAGGGCAGACUUAAUGUUUCAAAAGAUGCCGAUAACAGUCUUAUCGGCUAGACUAAAAGCUAAAAGCGGAGAAACAAAGGUGUGUCGCCGAUGAAAGCUUCAGAUGUUCAGCAGCGCUUGGAUUGCGGAUAUGGCGCGCAGCCGAAUCUGGUUGGCUGUCUCUAUCUCUUUGAUAUCGUCAUCGGCAGAACCUUCAAUCGGCUUCAGCUUCCUCUUCAGUUGCAGCGCUUUACGACCAUGGACGUUUCGUUCCUGUUCAAGAUGCUUGAUGGUCUCCGGCAGUUGACUAUCUUCUUGCUGGGCUUGGGACAGGGCGUCUUCUACUUGCUUGAGUUCAGCCAGCAGAGCUUCUCUUUUUGCCGCUAGAUCAGACAUUUUCUGCUUCAGUGCAUCACCUGAGGACUUUAAGAUGCCGAUGUUCUUAUGUUUCUCAUCGGCUAAGAGUUUUUGUUUCAUCAUCUCCUCAGAGAGCUGGAUUUGAGCAGCUCUGUCGGCAAGGCGUCGAGUAGCUCUCUGGUACUGUAGCUGGCGGCUUUCUAGAUGUGCAGCGUGGAAUAGUGCUUCUUCGGCAUCGGCAGGAAUUUGGCCUCUAAGAGUCUUGAACAGGGCCUUGGCUGGGUCAGAAUCGUCGACCAGUUGAGUUGUGUCUUGAUGAAGUAUGGCCGAUAGCUCCUCCAGCCUAGCUCUGGUUUCUGCCGAUACAAUUCCAACUGCCCGAGAGGAGCUUGCUUCCUCGCCUUCUUCUUCGAAGAUAUCAAUAGCGAAGGAGAACAAGCUGUCGGGAGAAUCUUGUUCCUGAAAAUGAAAAUGAAAUAGGUCAAUUUUGUGGUCAAAACUUCGGCAGAUGAUACCGAUGGAAAAGUGGAUGACUUACUUGCUUCAAGGCGAUUUCCUGCCUUUGACUCAGAGAGGCCGAUGGAGCUGCAGGUUGAUCGGCAAAUGUUGCCGAUAGAACGAUAUCGCCUGAAAGAAGACAGGAAGGAUUAUAAGAAUAAAUGAAAAUAAGUUUAUCGGUAGGAGUAUUGUUGGGAUAUGUUACCCGGAAGAGGAACAACAGUUGUUUGAAUUGAGGAAACCGCCGAUGAUAUAACUGGACCUGCCGGGCCAGUUGUUUGUUCACCUACGUCAGCUGACGUACCUGCCGUUUGAGGUUCUUCUUGCUGAGGUUCUUCCAUCUGUGGUGCUUCCUGUAUUGAUUGAGGAGAUGGUGCUUGCUGUGCCUGGACUUCUGGAGGAGAAGGGGAAGAUUCCACCGGGAUUGGAGACACCGGAGGAGGAGGAGGAGUUGCCACUUUCUGACACUUUGUUCCAGUCUUAGCACCUUGGACGCCUUUCCUCUUUGGCUGGCUAGACUGGGGGGAUCGGCACCUUGGCGUUUGGCUUUUGCCGAUGCACCAGUUUGCUGCAACAACGAUAAAGAGUUUAUGAGCACAGAUAACCGAUAUAAAGAUAGUCAGCAUAAAUAAAAAGGGGUUUUAACAGAUUGCCUUGAAAGCUUGCGCCAGAGUGGAAGCAGUUACCGUUGGUGAUGUCUGAGUUUUCUUGGUGGUAACUUUCUUGAGACGCGCACCCCGGUGCACGAUGGAAGCCAGAGUGGGAGCAUUGUGGCCGAUUGAGGAGAUCGGGCCUGAUGGGAAUAAGUCGAUCGGCUUGCCACUCCUGCUAACCGAUGGGGGGGUGUUGUCAAUCUGCAAAAAGAAUACAGGGGUAAGUUACCGAUGGGAAUAGUAUUGGAAAAUGAGACAUCGGUUUAAAAUACUUACAGUGUCGUCAGGGACUUCGUAUUCGGGGUCGAUCAUGCCGCGGUAUGAGAGGGCCGAUCUGCAGAAUAGAUUCUCCUUCCAUUCUGCCCACCAUAGCUUGUAUGCUUGAGUGAUAAAGGCAGCUGGAACCCAUUCUGACAGAUCUACAUCUGUAUCGGCAUUUGGUGGUAGCUGGGCUACUCGAGUCCACUCGAGGAGGUUAGCGAUGGGUUCUCUGGGCUUUAUUACAUCGGCAUAAGGAAGUGCGAUCGGCAAUUGGCCGAAAGCUAGCUGGCGAGCUAAUGCCGAUGGAUUAUAAAAUUCAUAGGUUUGGGGAGAGGUUUUCGUGCUGCCGAAGAAGUUCACUGGUAUGGCUCUGGGAGUCACGAUUGCCAUCAUCACCUCAUUGUCCCUAUCAAGAGCUUCGUCGAACGGAUUGAAGGUCAGAGGGAGCAUGCUAUCUGGGUCGUCAUAAGCCAGCCAUGGUCGUUCAUCUCUGGCCAAACCCUCAUACAGCGUUUCGAAGAAUCGGCCGAUCUGAUCCGGAGUGUUCCCUGAACCGGGUAAAACUAUAACAGCUUCGCCAAAGUUCAGGGGGGCACGUGUUGCCGAUUCCUCUUCACCCAACACAUGGUUCUCGGCUAUAUCUCUUGGGAAGUGCUGAGAGAACAAGUUGAGAUCGAGGCGCUUGUGCAGGUGCAGAUUGAGCCACAUAUUAAUAAACCACCAAGGACCUCCCAAGUUGCCGAUAGGUUGGCCGAGCAGGAGUUUCUGGACUACUUGAUGAAGAAGGUGAUAAACAGCGCCGAGCAAAUAACGGCCGAGAGGAAAUUGACCACCGCUAGCCAGUCUUUCUGCUGCCGAUAGAUAGACAGAAGUCGGUCCUGCCGAUCGACCACAGAAUACAAACUUGUCUAGCCACAUGUUCAGAAAAGUGGUUUGUUCCUUUAUGGUGACAGGCCCUCUCCCGCGGUACUUCUGGAUGUACCCUGACCAGCCGCCGAUAGCGCGAGUCUCCACUUUGGCACUAGGGGCGGUAUCAAAAAAGUGGGUGCUAUCGGCAGAAGAUAUGUCUAACCCAGUAAGCAUGGCUACAUCGGCAAGGGUAGGAGAAGCAGGGCCGUGGCCAAAAACAAAAGCGUUGAGAGUGUCUGACCAAAAGUAAGAUGCGGCUAUCAGCAAUGACUCGUUCCUGUGCAUAUCGGCAAUGGACAGCCUAAUGCAUUGAGCUAAUUUCCUCUCACCCCAUUGAACUUCAUAAGAGUUGCUGACCCUCAAGAACCAGUCUUUCCACCCUACAGUAGGGCUAGGCCAAGAGCGAAAGGUGUCCUUCCAUAGAUCUAGAGCAAAGUUUUCAGCUCUAAAGGGAAUCCUGUUGGUUUCUGCGUUGAUAAGGUCGGUUGGAUCUGGAUCCCCUAGAGGGCCGAGGCAUUGAAGAUGUGGUUGAUCGGUAGGAAUGACAAUUUUAUUGGAUAACUCCUGGUGUUUUGGGGAAUAAAGAUACAAAGAAAAAGGAGAAGGAAAAUAUUCGGUAAGGUAAAUCGCAGAUGAACAGGAAUGCAGGAAAAAGGUACAGCAGAUGAGAUGGAAGUCUGACCUCAGGGACGACGAAGCCAACGGCCAUCUUGUCGUGAAGGGGACGCUGGAAGACGCCGGAGUUGAUGAAGAAGAAUGCUUGUCCGAGAUCUUGAGGAUUGAGAAUGGCGCCGCCGCUGGAAAAGUGAAGUUGGAUGGCAGAAUGAUGUAAUGGGGGAGGAGUACCCAAGAAGGAACUAUUUAUAGGGCAAGAUGGACAAGGGCAAAUCUGACUUAUUUCUUUGCCGCAUCCGAGAAACCCGAGGGUACUCAAGUGGAUAUGGUAACUGUUCGCACGAUAAUCCAGGGAUUGUGCAGGUGAUUUGACAGGAAGCGGUCAUUAUCUAAAGAUAUUUUACUGUGCGCGAUCUCCUGGUCGGUCCAUCGGUGAUAUUCUAUAACGGUCGUCCUGCCGAUGGGCGGAUAGAGGGGAAGUAACCGUUUUUGCGAAUAUCCUGGGCAGAGCAUCGGCUUGUAACGGUAUUGUUGCCGAUGUACGACUAAGAGAGAUGCCCGUUUGGGAAGUUGUGGAUUUCGAGGGAUCUGCGGAGGAUUAGGAUCAGAGUUGCCCAGAUUGAGGUUGUCGGUUACCAGAUUAGGAGCAUUAAUUGCGGAGAAGACAUCAUUACUACAGAGAAUUUCGGAGCAUUAAUAGUUUUAUACUCCGAAACUGGGGGGCAUGUGUUGACACCAUUUUUGGGCACGUGUCCAGGAUGGCAGGACAGGGUGGCAGUACGAUGCGGGUUGCUGGUAAGGAUGGUUGCCGAUGAGGGAAAGGAUGAAUGUGACUAAGUCCUCAGACAGUAAUAUGGUGCCGAUGACCAAGUAAAAGGGUCUGCCGAUGACUAUGGCAAGGGGAUUGCCGAUGACGCGAAGGAGGAGUCCGGAAGCUGCCAGUUGUCAUGUGGAGGAGUUUCGGUUUGUCACGAAGGAUGGUUUUAUUAUUUCCUUAUGUUAUUCGUAUCAUUUUGUAUACGGGUUCCGUGUAAUUUGGAAUUCGAAUUCUAAUCGUGUCUGGUCGUAGCUCUUUGAGCAGGGUAUAAAUAUAAGCCCUAAGACCUUGUAAUCAGAAUAUCUAUCAAUCAAUCAAACACACGUUUUUUUUGCUCAUAUUCCAGCAUUUACUUUUCGACGACUUUGUCAUACGUUUUCUUUUUGUUACGAGUUCUUAGGAAUUCGUCGACUCAAGCUCGGCGUAUCCUCAAGUUCCGUGUGAGUACCUCUUAGCCGUGACAUCCGGGCGUAUCGCUGUUGUCAGGACUAAAGUAUUCGAGUUAUCACCUUUGCCGAUAGUAAGGUCAAAUCGGCUGGCACGCCUUAACGUUUGGAUCGGGUAUUAGCCCUUUGUGUUUGCAGACUAGUUUUUGCAUCAACAGAUACUUGAUCCAUUGCUUUCAUCAAGAAGAGUAUUCCAACUCAUAUUAAGGAAUCUAAUUGAGUUACCAUAAGAAUUUGGAUAAUAAUAUGUCAUGAAGGAGCUAACUCACUGCUGUCACUUUCAGGGACAGCCAAAAUAUGGAGGUAGCAAAUCAGCACUGAAUUGAUUCUUGAGAGCUCAAUUUGAUUAGGAUAGGAACCAAACUAGCUCUUGAUACUUAAACAAAGUUUGUUCUACAGAAGCAAUACUACAACUUUCAUUUAGGGUCAAACCUCAUAACUGCAACAGAAGUCAAUCUUUCACUUUGGUCAAAGCAGUAACCCGAUAAAGCUCCAAAUAGGAUUUUAGGCCAAUUGAAGCAUUUUCUUGACAUAAGCUCAACAUGAACCCUUCAUGACUUUUAUUGUAUAAUUCAUCUAGAGUCAUAUGAACAUGUUUUCAAGGGUUGUUUGAUGACCCAUGAUUCUAUUUCCUUAAUAGAGCCAUUCCGGCAAGGAUAUAACUUAUCAUUUCAUGUGACUUCUUGAUUCCAAACUUCACCAAACUUUUCCAUAGACCAACAUAGAUUGGGAUGGAUAUAAGGCACAUGGAAAAGGUUCCAUUAGCAUCAUCAAAGCAUACCUUUUAAAAAGGCAUAUAUGCAAGCAAGGUUGCAUCCACCAAGCCCAAGUUGGGGUUUACUUUCAUAGAUUGACUUUGACCUCUUUAUUACCAUUGAACUUGUCAUGUUUGAGCUCAAACCUAGUACUUAGCAAGUGACAAACACCUAGGGUGUUACAGCCUUCCCCCCUUAAAAGAAUCUCGUCCCGAGAUUCGGUGCAAAAGACUUUCCAGGGAAGAAAACAAUGUCAUCCAUCUCCCAAUAUCAGCGAUAACAUUGGGAUAUUUUGCUUGGAACACCAAAGAAGCAAACUUGGUCCAAACAUUUUAUGAUACUUGCCCUUCAUAGUAAACCUUUAUUUGAAGAAUCUCCCUUUUUGUUUGAGUUUAAUGAAGCAUUGUUACUUUGGGAGGAAUCCAAGACAAACUGUUCCAUGUACUUUGUUUUUGGUUGUUUAGAGCCUAAGGAGCUACUUGUACCAGUAGCUUCUUUAGUGAAACUAAUGCAAGCCAUAUGAACUUCACACCAGGUCACAAGCUUCUAAGGGUUGCGCAUUAUAGUGAUUCCAGGCUCAUUCACAAGAUUGAAAAGCAGUCCUCUACCAAAAUGGUGNNNNNNNNNNNNNNNNNNNNNNNNNNNNNNNNNNNNNNNNNNNNNNNNNNNNNNNNNNNNNNNNNNNNNNNNNNNNNNNNNNNNNNNNNNNNNNNNNNNNUGACAUUUCCGAGUUACUUUGAAUCCCACAUCUUGUGAGCAGGACGGGUAGGGUUUAUAGGUGUGGGUCGAACAUCCUUUGUGGUGUCUAGAUUCUGUAAGCUUCCCCAAUAGAACAGUAGAUCAUCCUUACCAAGGUUAGAACGAGACUACGGUUGCAGUCUUCUCUAUACAUCGCUCACAUCGAGAAACAUUCUUUGUAGCCUAAAGGGUAGUAGCAAUAGAUUUGGUUAGUUAGAUGCACGCUUUCUCCUAGUGGUAAAAAUAUAAAUACGAUACUCUGAAAUACCUCUCGGGUGAAAUGCUCACCGAUAUCUAUGCGCUUGCGGAUCAUUUCCUUAUUGUGUUACCAAAUAUCAACAAUGACUGAUGUAUAAUUUGAAAAACUUCAAACCUAUUUGGAUCCAAUAAUAUAAAAUUAUCUAUUUUCAGUCCUAGUGCUUUAGCUUUACCUUACCCUUAUCUGUAGGCUUUACUAGAAUUUUUGAGGUCAUGUGGAGGAGCAACAUAAAGUAUAGCCCUAUGUUGUAAAAUUUUAAGUGUUAUAGUUAUGAAUUUCUAUUGCGAAUUGUAAGUACGUGCAUGCAUCAUGAUAUGUCACUUGGUUAAUUACCUUCCUCUUUAUUCAGGUUGGGUUGUAUAGGAUCAAUCCCAUUCUUGCUAACCUUUAAGGUCUCCCUUUCUAAUCCAAACUUACCCUCUACAGGAUGGGUCGUUGGAAUCAAAUUCCUCGCAUGAGAACCGGUCCCAAGAGGGUACCUCGACACUAGUUGGCCCCAAGAAAUGAUCAAGCUCGUAGUAGCCGCUCCCAAUCUCAGCAGGAGAUGGAGAGGUUGUCAGCGGAGUUGGCCGAAGUAACUAGGGAGAGAAUGUAUAACGUUAUGGAGAUUGGUGAACUCAAAGCUCAGUUAACAAAUCAAAGACAAGCGACAGAGAAUUGCGAGGCGAUGCUAACCCGCAUGGUGGAAGAACGAAAUGCAGCCAUUGCCCGGGAAGAGGAGGCCAAAAGCAGAUAUAUGCAUGAGUUGACCCGAAUGAAGGCCAAGUUGACCAAAAGUAAGUACACUGAAAAUCUUUACAAGAAGAUGGCAGCCACUGUCACUGCAUAGAGGGACGUCGCAUGGCAACAGGAGGAUCAGCUGCAACUGGAGAAGCUCGAGUUGGCGCACCACCUGGACACCGCCGUCAGCGACAUGGCGAUGCAAUACCGGAAUAUUGCAUUCGACUUGUACCAUCAGCUUCAACCACCUCCAGAGGAAGGGGAGAUGGAUACUGAUGGAGAGCUUUUAGAUGGUGGAGAGCCCGACCAAGAACCCAGUAGGGAAGAGCAAUCCGACUCCGGCGACGACAACCCGGGGGACAACCAUGGCGAUAACGACGACGACCCGGGUUAUGGCUCUGACCACACCGACUAGUUCGGUGGAGUUGCGGGUGACGUCGUUAUAGAGUUCCUAGUCUACCGUAGUUGGGUUGGGUCUGUAGUGAAGUGUUUUUCUUUAAGUUAAAAGUUGUACUUGUUUGUUUUUGGUAUGCUAAACUGUUGUAUGAUAAAUAAGUUGAAGUAUGUAAAAUAUGUUUCUAAGUUAUGGGUUUCAAGUGGUAAUGAGUAUAUAUAACUCUUGUAGCAGAUGCCGAUGUGCACUCGUGGAUCUUCUCACGGAGGGGAGGACAUCCCCAACCCUCCACCUGCUCCGCCUUCCCUGGCGGAUGCAAUUGCUGUUCUUCUGAGCGCUACCAUAGACAAUGCUCCUCUAUUGCGCGAAUUAGCGCAGCGCCAACCUCAUCCUCUCCCAAACCCCCGAGCACAACACAACCCGGAGGGAGAAACUCGGUAUGUAGAUUUCACGGAGACAAGGCCACCCGUGUUUACAAAGGCAGAUGAGCCUUUGGAGGCUGAUGACUGGCUCCGGACAAUGGAGCAUAAAUUCAGCCUAAUCCGCUGUUCAGAGACUCAAAAGCCCCUCUUCGCCGCUCAACAUCUUCGGGGAGCUGCAGGGGCCUAGUGGGAAAAUUUCCUUGCUAUCCAGAAUCCAGGACACCAGGUCACCUGGGUAGAAUUCAUGGAUGCUUUUCGCACCCAUUAUAUUCCAGAAGGGCUUAUGGCAAUGAAAGCGAAAGAAUUCCUCGCCUUGCGACAAGGCGACAAAAGUGUGAUGGAAUACGUGGCCAAAUUCAAUCACCUUUCUCAGUAUGCCACGGAGCACGUGAAUACUGAUCGGAAGAACAAGGCCUGUUUUAUGCGUGGCCUCAAUACAAAGCUUCAAACAAUGAUGACCACAUGCCAGAAUGCCACUUACUACGAGGCUAUUAACAUUGCCAUCACCUCAGAGGAGAAGAACAGAAAACAUAAAGAAUCAAAGAAGAAGGCCACUUCUUCCUCUUUCUCUAGUCGCGGCCCAAAGCACCAGAGAAUCAUUUAUCACCCACAGGGCCACGGGCGCUUUCCGACGCAGUCACCUUUUCGUGGUUCCUUUCCUCCUCCACAGUAUAGACUCGGGCAGUAGGUCUAUCCUCGACCAACUGCCAUCACCAUAGCACCACGCCAGCCGAACGCCCCAGGUGUUCGUCCUACUGCUCUGCCAAACCACAAUUACCCUUGCUACAAUUGUGGUAAACCUAGGCAUUUCUCUAAAGAAUGCCCCUACCCUCGACAAAAUAACCCCACUUUCCAAAGGCCACCCAUCGGCCAACCCCAACUUAGCCAGUUUAAAAAUGGGGCUCAAAAAGGGCAGAAUGCACAAAGGGGUAAACCUGCAAAGAAGGUGGGACAAGUUUUUCAUACAGAGGUGGAAACAAUACCGGAAGGAGAGCCGUGUCGGUGUUUUGUCCCCGGGGGGUCACACCAACGAGUAAACUUGUAUGCGUGUUCCCUCUUCCAGAUGGUGAUGCAAGAAUGACACAAAGGUUUAUCCUAGUUCGGGCAAGAGAAGGCCCUACGUCCAGCGGGGGGAGGAGUGUUUUCUAUUAUCUUGCACCUAAGUGCUUCUACAGGGGUGAAUACAGGCAAGUGUUGCUGAGGAUUCUGAGUCCGGGAUGGCAGUGAUGUAUGGGAUGUUGUUCUACGUGGAGUGUUCUGUAUAUCUCUUCCUCAGCCUCCCCUUUUAUAGUUCCAAGGGGAGACCUAGGUUAGAUGGUGUAGGCAAUAGAAUAAGGCUCGAUAGGGGAAUGGUGCGCUGACCUACUCGAGGCCUCCGUACCGGCGUGGCCUCAAGCCGUCUUGUUACUGAGCACUUUGAUGAUGAUCGCGCAUGCUUCUGAAUUUGGCUCCUAUACAUCGCCUUGGAUUGGCUUAAGCAUGGGCACGCUUGUACGUCAUGGCAGUAGUCACAUCCAGGGUGGUUGAGGUGCUGUCUUUCAUCGCCUGACUCUUCCCUAGGAAGGAACAGGUUCGCUCGAGGGUCCGGCACUACGUGUGACUUUCUUGAGCGGUGCACUGACUUUGGGUGCCUCGAGGGACAUCGUGAUGUGACAUCCCGACUGUCUCACUGUGCUUGGUUGUACUCUUGCUUAUCUGGGGGAUAAAGCUGCAGAAAGUGGGAUUGGAUGGGUGCUUGCUCCCUAUCACGUUUCCCGUGACUGUCGGGUUAGGUGAGGACAUGGCAGGCGCAUUAAAUGCCCUGGCUUCCGUACCCCGACAGGCGGCGGGCGGCGCCUUUGCGCUCGAGGCCUAUCGAUUCGCCCGAGCCACUUCCGUAUUCGAUGGUUCGUUGUUUAGUCGAGCCUCUGUCAAUUCGCAUGACCUUAUUUCUGUGUUCAAGGCUAUGGUCGACAUCGAGCUUUGGUGAUCACGCGUGUAAGCGGGGGUGUCGGGUUAGGGCCUUGAUUUAUGUACGGCCCCUUUCGUUAUGGGCGUUGGUUGGGGUACCCCUUAUUGACACCCUCGAUAGUAGCCCCCGAGUCUCUACUCGAGCGCUUGCACUCGAGUAGAGGCUUUUCCGUUGGACGAGUUUCCGUGGGGUCACGCGAGCGACCCCCGCGGGGGUAGCCCCCGAGCCCUUGGAGGAGUCUUUGACUCCUUCGAGGGCUAUACUGCUUUUUCUAAUGGAAUUGUUCUCGAUCUCCCCUUCCUCCGAAAGACGUUUGUCAUGGAAGAGGGGCUUUGAGCCUUAGCCGGUCGGUUUUGCCUUUUCGAGGCUAGAGUCGUGACGUACUCCCGGUGGAGCGAGCGUCACCUACCCCAGGUCGAGUCCCUAUCGGGUAAUCCAAGUGAGAACCCGUGCCCCGUUCGAGGGGGUUAGCUGCAGCCCGAAGGCGUUCUCAUAAAAGCGGGGUUAGUGUGGUCGGGGUUACUGGUCUCGUUCGAUAGAGUCCAGUGGCUCGCUGCCUCCCUCCGUGGGGAUUCCUCUCGACCCUCUUGCCCCUGCCUUGGAUAUCCCCAGCGAGUUUUUGAGGCAGGCCUCGUUUUCGACCCCUCGUCGGGCAUCCCUUACUCUGGUACUCAACGGCGACCGUCGAACCCAUCCAGCGGGCCGGUCUGCGAUCCCUCGAGAAUUCUAUUGCAGUGCGUGCGUACCUUAUCUUAAAGGAGAAGGAAGAGCCAUGGCGGUUCGCUUUCUUGCCUGUUGGGCGCGCCUUUUUUGGCGGGAGCCGUUGCAGCAAUGUGCCAUUGUGGAACUCAUAGCGUCCUGUCAGUGAGAGUAACAAGACCGUUAGGCGACGCAUUUACUAGGGAGGUUACCGUAUUCUCCGGAUCUGCCCGUUGGGGGUUGGACGUCUAUAAAUAUCGUCGGGUCUCUCGGCUGCUACCCCUUCCGCUUUCCGCCAUUGUUCUUGCCUUUGCUCUCCUUGCCAUCUUAAUGCAUGCGCAUCCUCGAGCACAUAGCAGCAGAGCCACCUUUCUUCUUUUGUCAAGGUGUCAGUGAGGCUCGUCGCUCCCGAUGACUGGCGCCCGUCGUCAAUGACGGACCGCCGGUUGCUGUGUUGAUGGUCCUUAAGUAUCAAAUUUAAUUAUCAAAUAAACAAAGAAAAGGAUCCAAAUGCAAUCAACUUCUAGACUUAGGGUUUUAUCUGAUAGAAUUCCACGAGUUUUGGUGUUUGUCUAUUUCUACAGGGGGUUAUCAGGAAAUAUGGAAGAAAGGCCCACACGUCGCGAUUACAUAGAGAUAUCAACGUGUCGCGCAAUUAUCUUACAUCUAGAAGACUCCAGAAGCCACGAGAACGAAGCGGAGGCCGAACGGGGCUUGGCCUAGGGCGCUCGCCCUGAGGACCAGGGCGCCCGCCCCCCUUCAGAGUCCAAUCAGAACUCUCUUUCGGGAUCAAGCUCCACCGACCUAAAGGAUCAAGGGUAACCGUUCAAUCAAUGUCGGUUUGAUCCGACGGCCCAUAUUCACUUGGAGGGACUAUAAAACCAGACCCCCUAGCCCCUGGAGGAGAGAGCCUCUCAACCCUAAUUCAUUAUUCAUCGAGGGAGAAGAAGCCGCUGAUCAAGCCUAGAGCCACCACAUCAAUUAGACAUCUAGAUUAGCAUAGCUACAUAGGAUUAGAACUAGAAGGAGUCAAUCUUCGAUUGGUUUCCGGAUCUGUUAGGAGGAUUCUUGGUAAUUCUCUAAUUGUUCAUCUUUGUUCUUCAAUAUUAUGAAUAUGACUUUGUUCUACUUCAAUAUAUUGCUUAUGACUUUGCUGUACUUGUUUAUAUUCAAGAUUAUAUUGUUCUUAGUUUAUCAUGGUUAUAUACUUGGCUUAGUUAGAUUGGAAUUAUAUACAUGUUUAGGAUCGUAUAGAGUUUAUCCAUCGGACCCAUGGGUAAAUGAUAGAUAUUGUGUAGGCGUGGUGCUUAUACCGUAUUUAUCUGCGAUUGUACUGUUGGGUAUUUUAAACGCAAACAGAAAAAUCCGCAAGCGCACGGAUACCGAUGUAGCUUUCACCCAGGAGUAUUCCAGAGUAUCGAUUUUCGACAGAGAACGUGAGUGUACUAAUUAAGAUCCAAGAUCGCCCAAGGAUAACUAUAUAAUUAUUUUUGGUGGGAAGAGAGGAAGUUUCCUGAGAGUUCUCUAGUGGAUCUAAGAAUCAAGAAUUACUUCAAGAUUAUCUAUUUCGGGACAUCAGAGCACUAACCACAGAAAGAGAUGAGAAGGGGGCUAGGAAGGUCUGACUACGGUCCUACAAACACCGAUCCGAACGAGGUGGAAUACGUCGACCGUUAGGGCUGUCACUACCCUAGGGCUACCACAACAAUCCGCAGGAUUGGGUGCAAUUCAAGGUAAUUGCAAGACUAAACACCACUUCUAAUCUAUUAAUUACUACUCUAAUGUUGCAAAGAUUAGAGCACUUGAUGAAAGUGAGAAUCCAAUAAAUAACUUGAAUGUAAAUAAAAGUAAUUAAAGAACUCAAGAAUUAUGAAUUGAAGAACCUGGAGAACGAUGAAGAACGAACCAGUUGCUGCAAAAGUACAAUGUUGAGGAAGAUCCGACAGAUUCGGCUCCUCCUCCGCUCUCCUCUUCUCUCUCCGUAUUUUCUAGUUUACAACUAGAACGCACUAGAACUAGAACUAGAGGAACUAGAACUAGAAGAACUAGAACUAGAACUAGAUGAACUAGAGGUAUCCUCUCUACUUGGAUGAAGAAUUGAAACCCUAGCUUUGAUUCUGUAGAAGAGGUAUGAUCUCCAGGGGCCAGGGGGUCUGGUUUUAUGUCCCUUCAAGUGAAUAUGGGCUGUUGGAUCAAACCGAUAUUGAUUGAACGGUUAUCCUUGAUCCUUUAGGUCGGUGGAGCACGAUCCGCGAGUUUGGACGUGAUUGGGCAGAACUCCAGGGCGGGCGCCCAUAGGACUUGGGCGGGUGCCCUGUCCCUGAGCCCUCUCGGCUUUCCAUUCGUUCCCAUGGCUUCUGGAGUCUUCUAGAUGGUAGAAAAUUGCGCGGCACGUUAAUAUCUCUAUGUAAUCCCGAUGUGUGGGCCUUUCCUCCAUAUUUCCUUAUAACCCCCUGCAGAAAUAGACAAACACCAAAACUCGUGGAAUUCUAUCAGAUAAAACCCUAAUUCUGGGUGUUGGUUGCAUUUGGAUCCUUUUCCAUGAUUAGUUGAUGGUUAAAUGUGAGCAUUAAGGAUCGUCAACAAGCUCCCCCAAGAUUAACCUUUGCUCGUCCCUGAGCAAAGCUAAAAUCAACAAGAAAACAGGGGUUACUUUUAUGCCUCUUACUACAGGGUUUUUAAGUUAUCACUAAGGUCUUAAGUGAUUGAAAAACAGAACGAUCAAGUCAAGCACUGUGUCUCAAGUUCUUUUGUCUUACCUUUGUUCUGGAGUUUUUAUAAGUCUGCAAAAUAAAACUGAGGCAUUUGUCUUCUUCUCAAAAGAUUUAUAAGUAGAGCUUUAAAAGUUUUAGCAUACUUACUUUGCAUUUUGCUGUUGACGGUUCUUAAGUAUCAAUUUUAAUUAUCAAAUAAACAUGAGAAAGGACCAAUAUGCAACCAUCACCUAGAAUUAGGGUUUGAUCUGACAGAAUUCCACGAGUUUUGUUGUUUAUCUAUUUCUGCAGGGGGUUAUCAGGAAAUAAGGAAGAAAGGCCCACAUGUCGGGAUUACAUAGAGAUAUCAAAGCACCGCGUAAUUUUACAUCAUCUAGACGACUCCAGAAGCCACGAGACCGAAGCGGAGGCGAAGCUGGGCCAGGCCCAGGGCGCCCGCCCUGGUAGCCUGGGCGCCCGCCCCCCUGCUGGAGUCAAUUCAGGACUCUUUCGCUUGGGAUAUUCCACCGACCUAUUGGAUCAAGAAAAACAUAGUACCACCUCGGCUAUCGACCCAAAAACGCAUAGAAGGGGAGGACUAUAUAAGCGAGGCCCCCUGGCCCCUGGAAGACAUGAAGAAAUUAUCAUAGAGACUGAGGGGUGCCCUCGAAGGAAAACCUCUUCUCUAAUUAAUAUUUCUUUUUAGGCUUAGCAAUCAAUGUAAGGUAGAAAUAGAUCUUCUAGUUUCUACUAGAUUGAGAGAGAUAGAGUGGAGGUGUAGAGUGGAGGAAGCCCGGCUUGUCGGUGUCUACUCCAAGCUUGUACCUGCGGGAUCAAGUUCUCGUAACCCGAAGCUUGCUCCUAGGAUUCUUCAGUAAUUCGACUUCUAAAUUCUAGUAAGUUCUUGUUUUAUUGUUCUUAUGGUUUAUGAGUUUACUUUAAUCUCUUUGCGUAGAGUUUAGAGUAAUCAUUGCUGGCGUAAACGUGGUGUUUAGGCUAGGGUACUCAUAGAUAUUCCCUGACUAGCUGGACCGUGGUAGUAGUGAGGAAUGUGACAUUUCCGAGCUACCUUUGUAGAUCACAUCUCGUUAGCAGGAAGGAUAGGGUUUAUAGGUGCGGGUUGAACAUCCUUUGUGGUGUCUAGAUUCAGUUAGCCUCCCCAUUAGAACAGUAGAUCAUCCUUACCAAGGUUAGAAGGAGACUACGGUUGCAGUCUUCUCUAUUUAUCACUCACAUCGAAAGACAUUCUUUGUGCCUAAAGGUUAGUAGUAAUAGACCGGUUAGUCAGAUGCACUCUUUCUCCUAGUGGUAAAAAAAUAAAUACGAUACUCUGGAUAAUUUCCCGGGUGAAGUGCUCACCGAUAUCCGUGCGCUUGCGGAUCAAUUCCUUAUUGCGUUCCCAAAUAUCAACAUUUGCUAUGUCAACGCUCGGAGUAAGGGAGAGGAAUGUCAUACUCCUAGAUCAAGACCUUUGACCUUUUUGAGAAGUUUGUCAUCUCUUACUGGCAUAUUGCUUAUUAGAGGGACCAUGGGCUAUCAUUUUUUUUUCUUUCUCUCUCUCUUUUCUUUUUUUUCUCUUUUUUUUAAGUGGGCAGCAAGUACCCCUAAUUCUACUGUCGGACACAUGUCCAUUUUUUUCCACUCAGGUGGGUAUCUUUGUACCCCUAAUUCUACUUCGGACACUUGUCCAUUUUUACCUCUCGUCUCACUUCUUUUUUUUCGAAUCAAAUUUUUGGAUAAUCCCAUGCCUCUAACGCAAUAAUAAUUCGGAAGAGUGAAUCUUUUAUAUUUUUAAAACAAAAAGAUCUUGAUCUUAAGAGCAUGAUAAUUCUCACAACCAAAACUACAAGAAUUAACAAUGGCUUGAAUGAAGCAAGCGCCCACAAUUUUAAUAUUUAUAUCUUAUAAGACUCUAGGUAUUAUGUCAAACAGGAUCUCAUUCAUUUUUAGAUUUUCAAAAGAUAAAAUUUCCAGAACCCUAGCAAAACUUAGAACAAGUUAUAUAGUAGCUCAGACCUUCUCAUAUCAUAUUUGUCAAUUACUUAGACUUGGAUCAAACUAUUAUUUUAUUUUAUUUAAAACUUAGAAUUACACAAAACUAUUGUAUAUUACUCAAAAGAAAAACUUUGUUUGGUUUCAUGGUUAUGCAUUUUUUUAUUUCUGAAUACUAGUAAAUAUAACUAAGAAAGAAAAGUAAUACUUAUCUAGAUACACGUGGGGGUGCCUCCCCCAAGCUGGAUGUUGACAUAGUCGUUCACUCUUUUGGCCUACAUGUUCAGUCUCAUUCUUCUUAAGACUAAAAAUCCUGCACAACCCAAAUAGACAACAAAACUUGUGGAACAUGUUAAGGGUUAGGUAAUUGUCUAGAGCUUAUGAGAGCUUAAUAUGAGAAUUCUAUGAACUCAAUCACAUCAAGUUCCUCUACCAGGUUGUUUUGUGGCUCAAGAUAGAUUUUCAAGCGUUGACCAUUUACCUUAAAAGUGUUACCUAUGUCAUCUUGGAUGGUAAUGGCUCCAUGUGUUGAAGUGUCAACAACCUUGUAUGGUCCAUCCCACUUACUUCGUAGCUUACCAUGCCCAAAGAGCUUAACUCUUGAAUUGAAUAGUAGAACCUUAUCUCCACGCUUAAAGUCCUUGUGCUUGAUUCUCUUAUCAUGCCAUCAUUUUGUUCUCUCUUCAUAGAUCCCUGAAUUGUGGUAGGCUUUCUCUCUCCAUUCUUCUAGCAUAGAUAGUUGCAUCAGACGAUUCUCGCUAGCGAGGUGGAGAUCCAUGUUCCAUUUCUUGAGUGCCUAAUGAGCCUUAAACUCUACUUCCACAGGCAAAUGACAAGUUUUUCCAUAUACAAGUUGAUAAGGUGACAUGCCUAUGGGUGUUUUGAAUGCAGUUCUAUAUGCCCAAAGUGCAUCAGGAAGUUUGUCCUUCCACCCUUUACCCAUCUCAUCUACGGUCUUUUGUAAAAUAUUUUUGAUUUGUUUGUUAGAUGUUUCGGCUUGACCGCUAGUCUGAGGAUGGUAUGGUGUUGUGACGUUGUGUCGAACUCCAUGAUCGGCUAGGUACUUCCGGAAGAUUUUGUCGAUGAAGUGGGAACCUCCAUCGCUUAUAACUAUCCGGGGUAUACCAAAGCGAGGAAAGAUUACUUCAUGGAACAUUCUCUUGGCACGUUUUGAAUCAGCUGAUCAACAAGGUAGGGCUUCUACCCAUUUGGAUACGUAGUCCACAGCUACUAAGAUAUACUCACAAUUCCCAGACAUAGGGAAUGGCCCCAUGAAAUCAAUGCCCCAUACAUCAAAAAGUUCUACUUGAAGAUUAUUUGUGAGAGGCAUUUCAUUUCGUGAGUUGAUAUUCCCAUGUUUUUGACAUUGGUGGCAUCUCCUGACAAAGUCCUUUGUAUCUUCAUACAUCGUUGGCCAGAAAAAGCCACUUUGCCAAAUUUUAGCAUGUGUCCGGAAUGCUCCGUAGUGUCCUCCAUAUGGCGAGGCAUGGCAUCUUUCCAUAAUUUGGGUAGCCUCAGCCAUAGGAACACACCUUCUCAAGAGUCCAUCAGCACAGACUCGGAAUAGAUAUGGCUCAUCCCAAAGGUGGAAACGACUAUCAUGAUGCAACUUUCUUUUGUUUGCACCAGAUGGGACAUAGCCUUUUACUAUAAAGUUUACGAUGUCUGCGUACCAUGGAUCUACAUGUGUUAUCUUAAGCAGGGUGUCAUCCCUUAGGUAGUCAUUUAUGGGAAGCUCAUCAUGUGUUUCCUUAUAGUGAAGCCUAGAUAAGUGGUCGGCCACGGAAUUCUCUACUCCCUUCCUAUCUCGGAUUUCUAUGUCAAAGUCUUGGAGUAGAAGAAUCCAUCGAAUUAGAUGAGGCUUAGCAUCUUUCUUAGUGAGGAGGUACUUGAGAGCAGCAUGGUCUGAAUAGAUGAUUAUCUUUGCCCCAACUAAGUAAGAUCUAAACUUGUCUAUAGCAAAGACAAUAGCCAAAAGCUCUUUUUCAGUUGUAGUGUAAUUGAGCUGUGGUCCAGACAAGGUUUUGCUAGCGUAGGAUAUGGCAUAAUGCUUUUAUCCUUGGUUUGUCCUAAAACGGCACCAACCGCAAAAUCGCUAGCAUCACACAUGAUCUCAAAAGGAAGAUUCCAAUCAGGUGGUUGGAUAAUCGGGGCUGAGAUGAGUGCUUUCUUAAGAGUUUGAAAAGAUUCAUGACACUCAUCACUAAAGAUGAAAGGUGCAUCCUUAGCUAGGAGACUAGUUAGGGGUCUAGCAAUUUGAGAGAAGUUCUUGAUAAAGCGUCUAUGGAACCCUGCAUGUCCCAAAAAGCUACGGAUUCCUUUCACAUUCGUGGGAGGUGGAAGUUUUUCAAUAACUUCAAUCUUUGCUUUGUCCACCUCUAUACCACGUUCGGACACUUUAUGUCCAAGCACUAUUCCUUCCUGAAGCAUAAAAUGACAUUUCUCCCAGUUCAGGAUUAAGUGCUUUUCUUCACAUCGCUGUAAGACUCUAUCUAAAUUCUCUAAACAAUGAUCGAAGGUUUUGCCAUAGACGGUAAAAUCAUCCAUGAAAACCUCCAUGAUCUUCUCAAUCAUGUCUGAGAAAAUAGACAUCAUGCACCGUUGGAAAGAAGCUGGAGCAUUGCACAAUCCGAACGACAUUCGUCGGUAUGCAUAAGUUCCAUACGGGCAUGUAAAGGUAGUCUUUUCUUGGUCAUCUGGGUGGAUUGGGAUUUGGUGAUAUCCAGAAUAACCAUCAAGGAAACAAAAGAAAGAGUGGUUUGCAAGCCGUUCCAACAUUUCAUCAAUGAAGGGUAAUGGAAAGUGAUCUUUCUUUGUAGCCUUAUUGAGUUUUCGAUAGUCAAUACACAUACGCCACCCAGUGACAAUUCGUCGAGGGAUGAGUUCAUUCUUCUCAUUCCUAACGACUGUCAUUCCUCCUUUCUUUGGCACUACUUGGACAGGGCUAACCCACUCACUAUGUGGCACAGGAUAAAUAAUCCCAGCAUGAUAGAGUUUGAGGACCUCUUUCUUAACAACCUCUCGCAUAGCAUUGUUAAGUGUCCGCUGUGGUUCCCUUGAUGGUGUAAAAUUGGGAUCAAUAGGGAUACGAUGAGUGCAGAGAAUGGGACUAAUGCCCGUGAGGUCUUCGAGAGAGUAGCCAAAUGCUGAUCUAUGCCUUUCAAGAACAGUGACAAGUUAUUGUGUUUCAUAAUCGGAAAGCUUGUCACUGAUAAUUACUGAAGUUUUUGGGUUGUUGUGCAAAAAGACAUAUCUAAGGCCAGAAGGAAGAGGUUUUAACUCUAUCGGAGGAGGUGAAGGUUGUUCAUUUUUGUCUAGCUCAACGAGUUCUACCAACUCUUCUUCUUCUUGAACAAAGUGUUCAUGAUUAAAGAAUGGUUGGGCCAUCUCCUCUUGAGUCAGCAUUAAGAUCUCCUCAAUAGGAUCUGGUUCAAGCUUGGGUUCCACUAUCAUGUUAAUUGAUCUAGCAAGAGGAACAACAAUAGUGGAAUUCCCAACCUUGAAGUCUAAAUGACCUCGUUGUGGUUGUUCCUGUAGAAGUUUCAUGAUUGGUGUGCCAAUCAAGAGAGGAAUCUCCGGUAUGUCAAAAAUGUGAAAAUCUAGACAUAUUCUAGAGUCCUUGAUUCUAACAGGAACUGCCCUUAAUACCCCAUGGCUUUCUAGAAUUAAUCUAGAUGGACUUUGUAAAAGUUUUUGAGAUUGGGUUAUGGACUCGUUGGUAUAAAGAGUGUCAGCUAACUCCUUAGAAAUAACAUUUAUCCCAACAUAUGGAUUAUAGUGGACCUUUCGAGCGGACCUUCUAAUUUGGCACAGAAGAAUGGUUGAAGGAGUGAUGAAUCGAGCUACCUCAGGAGACAGCUCAGCUUCUGUUAGCCAUUCAUAACUCAGAAUAGCCGAAAGGCUUUUGAUGUGUUCUAUGUCAACAGAUUCUACUCUUAGAACGGAUUGAGUGGUCCCUGCUAGAGGUCGUGUUUGGAUAGGAAAAUUCGAGGUGUUUCCAUAAUCUUCAAAAAGAUCUUCCUCGAAUUCAAAGGGAUGCUCUAAAGGUGGUGGUUCAUCAUCCCUUAGUUGGUUUUGCAUUCCCUUAUCAGGAGGUUUCUCUACAACCAAAUUAAUAGAUGGAUCAGGUGGAAUUUCUAACUCAGUUGCAAGUUCCUCAUCUCUUGGUUUAGGAUCAGGCUCGACUUCUUUUUCUUCUUUAGGAAACUCAUCAUAAAUGCCUGUGUAAGGGGUCUUUUCAAGGAUUCUUUCUAGGAUAGCUCUCCCCUCAUCUGUGAGUUUGUGUGUGAAUGAGCCUCCUGAAGCAAUGUCGAGGUGAAGAGCAGCUUCCUUGUUUAGACCACGAUGAAAGUGAUAGUACAGUACAUGGUUAGGAAGGACAAGGUUUGGAUCGGAAUUGGUAAGGCUUGUGAACCUAGCCCAAGCUGCUCCUAAAGUUUCCUUCUCUCUUUGUUUGAAUGUGAGAAUUUCGAUUCUAAGGUCAGCGAUUCAAAAAAGUGGGAAGAAAGCGAGACAAAAGUUGUCCCGAAGUUCAUCCCAAUUUCCAUUAACGCCUCCUAUAGAAUGAGCAUACCACUUUUUUGCUCUUCCCAAAAGGGAGAACGGAAAUAAUUUCCAUUUAAGGGUUACUUGUGUCAUGCUGGAAAUAGAUCGGAAAGAGCACAACUGCUCAAAUUCUCUAAGGUGAGUGUAUGGAUCUUCAUCUACUUCCCCAGAGAAGGGUUGCUCCUGAAUCAUGGCUAUUAGAUCAAGGCCGAGGUCGUAGCCAUCUGUAAGAAUUGGAUGUGAUGAUGGUGGUGGCUCUAAUAACUCGCCCUUUGGAGCAAAGAAUUUAUAAAUAGGAGUGAAAUCCAUGUGGUGUGGUAAAAAUGGUAAGGUGAGUGUGGUAAAAAAGGAAAAGAAAAAGGAUACACAGACGACUUGGUUCGAAACUAGCACAGCUACCGUUCCCCGGCAACGGCGCCAGAAAGCUUGUUGGGUAUUUUAAACGCAAACAGAAAAAUCCGUAAGCGCACGGAUACCGAUGUAGCUUUCACCCGGGAGUAUUCCAGAGUAUCGAUUUUCCACAGAGAACGUGAGUGUACUAAUUAAGAUUCAAGAUCGCCCAAGGAUAACUAUAUAAUUAUUUUUGGUGGGAAGAGAGGAAGUUUCCUGAGAGUUCUCUAGUUGAUCUAAGAAUCAAGAAUUACUUCAAGAUUAUCUAUAUCGGGACAUCCGAGCACUUAUCUAUAUCGGGACAUCCGAGCACUAACCACGGAAAGAAAUGAGAAGGGGGCUAGGAAGGUCUGACUACGGUCCUACACACACCGAUCUGAACGAGGUGGAAUACGUCGACCGUUAGGGCUGUCACUACCCUAGGGCUACCACAACAAUCCGCAGGAUUGGGUGCAAUUCUAGGUAAUUUUAAGACUAAACACCACGUCUAAUCUAUUAAUUACUACUCUAAUGUUGCAAAGAUUAGAGCACUUGAUGCAAUCGGGAAUCCAAUAAAUAACUUGAAUGUAAAUAAAAGUAAUUAAAGAACUCAGGAACUAUGAAUUGAAGAAACUGGAGAACGAUGAAGAACGAACCAGUUGCUGCAAAAGUACAAUGUUGAGGAAGAUCCGACAGAUCCGGCUCCUCCUCCGCUCUCCUCUUCUCUCUCCGUAUUUUCUAGAUUACAACUAGAACGCACUAGAACUAGAACUAGAGGAACUAGAACUAGAAGAACUAGAACUAGAACUAGAUGAACUAGAGGUAUCCUCUCUACUUGGAUGAAGAAUUGAAACCCUAUCUUUGAUUCUGUAGAAGAGGUAUGAUCUCCAGGGGCCAGGGGGUCUGGGUUUAUGUCCCUUCAAGUGAAUAUGGGCUGUUGGAUCAAACCGAUAUUGAUUGAAUGGUUAUCCUUGAUCCUUUAGGUCGGUGGAGCACGAUCCGCGAGUUUGGACGUGAUUGGGCAGAACUCCAGGGCGGGCGCCCAUAGGACUUGGGUGGGUGCCCUGUCCCUGAGCCCUCUCGGCUUUCCGUUCGUUCCCAUGGCUUCUGGAGUCUUCUAGAUGGUAGAAAAUUGCGCGGCACGUUAAUAUCUCUAUGUAAUCCCGAUGUGUGGGCCUUUCCUCCAUAUUUCCUGAUAACCCCCUGUAGAAAUAGACAAACACCAAAACUCGUGGAAUUCUGUCAGAUAAAACCCUAAGUCUUGGUGUCGGUUGCAUUUGUAUCCAUUUCCAUGAUUAGUUGAUGGUUAAAUGUGAGCAUUAAGGACCGUCAACAUGUACCCAAUAUGCCAGAUCGCGGGGUAGUUCGUGAUAGUGACAGCUUCAUUGAUUCUUAUAUAGUCCCCCUCUCGUGUAUUGGGCUGGCAGAGCAAUAUUAUUACAGGGGAGUGAUUACGAUGUUUCUCAUAUUCCUUGCUAAUAUCACUAUGCAUGGGCGUAGUCGUUUCUGACCAAGAAGGACGACUGUGGGGGUAUAAACCCCUAUACCCUUACGGCUAGACUUCGGCCAUUAGGCUUGGCCCAUUACGAGACGAGUUCAAGGCUUGAUCCGACAACCUGGAGUUUCGCGCAAGGAAACAAGAUGUGGAGAUCAAGCAGGAUUCUAGUCGGUUAGAAUAGGAAUUGAUAUCGAAUUAUCCAUGGCAAUUGUAACCGGCUAGGAUUAGUUUCCAGAUCUGUAACCCUGCCCUCCAGACUAUAUAAGGAGGGGCAAGGGACCCCCCUAGGACAUCAUAUUCUCUCAACACAAAUCAAUACAACCAGACGCAGGACGUAGGUAUUACGCCAACUCGGCGGCCGAACGUGGAUAAAAAGCUUGUCCGUGUCUUGCGUCACCAUCGAGUUCGUAGUUUGCGCACCGUCUACCGAUAAACUACUACCGUGGGUAUACCCCAAGGUAGACUGCCGACUAGCUUUCGUCGACAGUGGUGCGCCAGGUAGGGGGUGUGCGUGCAACUUUUCCGGCGAACAAGAUGGUCACGAUCCCAGCUUCCGCGACCGUGCCCGAAGGCCUCACGUUCACCGUCGGCCAGAUCACGUGGACGACGUGCAGCGGCGGCUUCGCGACCACGUUUCCGAAGGAGAUCCAGAUCCAAUCUGAGAUCACGCCGUCUCCGACCACACGCAUGACGGCACCAAGCGCCCGACCACCGUUCCCACUCUACAAGGGAAAGGAGAUCGACUGCUCGGACCUCCUCCAAGCGCUCGAUCGCACUGACUCCAAGCUACUCGAAGUCUCCCAACUAAUAGAUGGAGUUCUGCACCGGCCCGACCAAGCUGCUCGAGCGGAUUUUUUGAAAUCCCGCCGGCCAACUCGUGUCGCCACACACGAACGGCUGGGAACGUCCCUGACGAUAACCUCAACCCCCUCAGGUCGAUCCGUCGAGCUCAAAAAGGAAGACUAUCCUCGCGGCCUGAACAACUCGGCCUCUGUUUACUCACAGCAAGUCCAAUCCAUUUUCAGCAAGGCGGGUUGGUCACCGACAAGGAACAAUCGUCACCAUGUCAACAUGGUGACAAUCCGAGAGCUACGGGACGGCCAGGUUUCCAGCACCAACUCAAGCACCGGCUCCGUCCCCACCGAGGUUAUAAACACCGAAGACGAGGGCUACGACCUGGAUUUUCCUUCACACCCUCCGGGUUUCGACCGAUUCCCGAUAUUCCCCCCCCCCGGCGAGGGGAUAUUGUGUUCAAUGUCAGCGCCGACGAACCGGAUGUUGACGGAGAAACAGAUGACCAGAGGCAACUCCGCGAACAGCGUAACGCCGAUCGCGCCCGACGGCGUGCGGACGAGCAACAGAUGCCACCAAGUAACCUCAACGAUGCCUUUGACAUGGUCGGGGACCAGCCAGUCUACAAAACGCCAAGCGCCAACGUGGCUGUCGCCAUGGCCAACCUGGAUCGGCUUCCUGACACCCCCGAAUGCCAGGGUGUCCGGACCAGCAUCCGAGCACACCUGAUCGCCGCAAUGGGACAGACAGCCACUCUACUCAAGAGAGUCCAGGACGUCUCUUAUACGGAAGCCGCCUCCGACCAGACUAAUCGUAGCCAGGUCUCACCCAGCAGGCGUCACCGCAGCCGCUCCCCCGACAACCGUCGAGGGGACUCGCGGCGCGACGAUGGUGGUCGGGACGCCGAUGGCCGCCGCAAGCAAAUUCAUGGCAUACGCGGCCAAGAAGAAGAUCAACACAGGGAUCUCCGCCACAACAUCCCUCCCAAAGAUGCCCGGGACCGCAUCAACAGGCGCGCCGCAGAGAGAGUAGUCCACGAAAACCUGCGCCGCAUCGAGUACGAUGCGACCCACGGUCCUCCAGGCCUAAGACAGUUCUCCUCACACCUCCGCCAGGUCGUGUGGCCCCGCAAUUUCAAGCUCGAAAAACUUAAAAAAUACGACGGCAAGGAAAAUCCAGAGAACUGGAUCACUCUCUAUGAAAUCGCCGUCCGAUCAGCGGCAGGAGAUGAGCACGUCAUGGCUAACUACUUCCCCGUAGUCCUCGACCAGGCUGGUCAUCAGUGGCUUCUCGGCUUGCCCGAGGACUCCUUCGACUCUUGGGAAGAGCUACGCCAGGCUUUCAUCGACAACUUCAUCGCCACAUGCGAGCAGCCCGGAAACAAGUAUGACCUUGAAAGGAUAAGAGACAGGAAGAAUGAACCUCUGCGCGAUUACAUCCGACGAUUCUCGGAUAUGCGCCUCAAAAUCCCGAAGAUUUCCCAUGACGAGGCCAUAUCGGCCUUUAUCAAGGGCUUGCGUUUCCAUGAAGCGCUGAGGAACAAGCUGUUGCGUAAGGGCCCAUCAACGGUAGCAGAGCUCCUCGCCACGGCUAAAAAUUACGCCGAUGCUGAUGACGCAGAAAAACUAAUCCGAGACGAUGCGAGAGGCCCCGACCAGCCUUCCCGGCGAGAUGACGGUCGUGGUCGCUACGACAACAGAAAUCACCGCCGCUCUGACAACCGCGAUCACCGAGAGGGUUGGGAUCGGCGGCGCGACAGCCGCGACGACUUCAGAGGAAAGCGCCCUCGCGAAUACGACCACGAAGUAAAUACGGUCAAACGUCCCAAUGGACGACGGGACUACCAAGACGACUACAACAAAACGUUGAAGGGACCGUGCCAGCUACACCCAAAGUCUAACCAUACCAUGGAAGAGUGCCGCGUCCUCAAAAGUAUCUAUACACGGCGGGCCGCCCAAGAGGACUCCGCCAAGAAAAAUAACAAGCGCGACGGGCACGACCACGAAGAUGAGGAUGAGGACCAAGACAGGGACCCCCGACACCAAUACGUCAGCCCCACCGACGUGGUCCACUCCAUUUUCGGGGGCAAGGUCUCCACUGAGUCCAAGCGAGAAAGAAAGCUGUUAAAGAGAGCCUGCCUCAACAUAGACAGCACGGACGGGCUGAUUGCAGACCCGAAAUUUCCCGCGUGGUCCCACAGGGAGAUCUCGUUCAGCAGGAAGGACCAGUGGGCCGCUAUCCCAGAGCCGGGUCAUUUCCCACUGAUUCUUGAUCCCUGCAUCAAUAGCAUCAGAUUCGAGCGCGUGCUCGUGGACGGGGGAAGCUCCAUCGACAUCCUUUUCCGCAACAGCCUGCCCGCCCUCAAGAUAUCACCGGCACAACUAAAACCUUACGACGCCCAAUUCUGGGGGGUUUUCCCAGGUCAAAGUUCGGUGCCCCUCGGACAGAUAACAUUGCCUGUCCAAUUCGGCACACCCGAUCACUUCCGGACGGAGUUCAUCAACUUCGUAGUCGCGGAUUUCGACGGGACCUAUCACGCCAUACUGGGCCGCCCAUCGCUGACAAAGUUCAUGGCAGUCCCGCACUACUCAUACCUAGUCCUUAAGAUGCCCACGGAGAAGGGUGUCCUAACCAUCAGAGGCAACGUCUACACCGCGUACACCUGCGAAGAAGAAAGCUUCAAGAUCACCGAGGCAAUCGACCUCUUAAUCCGCAUGGCGGAAACAGCAAACCAAGCCGCACAGCUGCCUCCCGACCAGCUCCGAUUACCUGAGCAGGAGACAGCCAGAAAGAACUCGAAAUCCAAGGAGUACAAAGAAGUGCAGCUGGUCGAAGGCAACCCCGAGAAGACAGCCCUCAUCGGGGCUAACCUGGAUCCAAAAUAGGAAGACGCGCUCGUCAGGUUUCUAAGGGACAACGUGAGCGUUUUCGCAUGGAAACCCGCAGACAUGCCCGGUGUCCCACGAAACCUGAUCGAGCACUCCUUAAAUGUCUCGAAGACCGCAAGACCAAUCAAGCAAAAACUGCGACGGUUCGCUCGUGACAAAAAGGAGGCUAUUAGGACAAAAAUAACACGGCUUCUAGCAGCCGGAUUCAUAAAAGAAGUGUAUCACCCCGAUUGGCUCGCCAAUCCGGUUCUUGUACGCAAAAAGAAUAAUGAAUGGAGAAUGUGCGUUGAUUACACCGAUCUCAACAAACACUGUCCUAAAGAUCCUUUUGGUCUUCCUCGCAUCGACGAGGUGGUCGACUCAACGGCCGGAUGCGAACUCCUCUCCUUUCUAGAUUGCUACUCUGGUUAUCACCAGAUCUCGCUAAAGGAAGAAGAUCAGAUCAAAACAUCCUUCAUCACCCCCUUCGGCGCAUACUGCUACACUACCAUGUCUUUCGGGCUUAAAAACACCGGGGCCACUUAUCAAAGGGCCAUCCAGCAAUGCCUCCACGACGAGAUUCGCGAUGACCUCGUCGAGGCCUAUGUGGACGACGUGGUCGUAAAAACAAGGGACGCGAGCACCCUAAUCGACAACUUAGACCGAACCUUCAAGGCACUCAAUAGGUACAAGUGGAAGCUCAACCCCAAGAAAUGCAUUUUCGGCGUUCCUUCCGGUUUACUGCUCGGCAACGUCGUCAGUCGCGACGGCAUACGACCAAACCCUUCAAAAGUCAAAGCCGUACUCGACAUGCGACCACUGAAGAAUGUCAAGGAUAUUCAGAAGCUAACCGGAUGCAUGGCCGCCCUCAGUCGUUUCAUCUCAAGGCUGGGAGAAAAAGGCCUCCCUUUCUUCAAACUAUUGAAAGCGUCAGAAAAAUUUUCUUGGACAGAGGAAGCCGACGCUGCGUUCACUCAGCUUAAGACCUUCCUCACUUCACCACCUGUCCUCACAGCGCCUCAGCCCAAUGAAGACCUACUCCUUUACAUUGCUGCAACCGACAAGGUUGUUUCCACGGCAAUAGUGGUCGAGCGAGAUGAGCCAGGUCACGUCUUCAAGGUCCAGAGACCCGUUUACUUCAUAAGCGAAGUCUUAAACGAGUCCAAGGCCAGGUACCCACAAAUACAGAAGCUUAUAUACGCCAUCCUGAUAACAUCAAGAAAGCUGAAGCACUACUUCGACGGCCAUCGAGUCCUGGUGACAACCAGCUUUCCUCUCGGGGACAUCCUGCGCAAUAAAGACGCCAAUGGCAGAAUCGUGAAAUGGGCAAUGGAAUUAUGUCCAUUUUCCCUGGAGUUCCAGAGUCGCACCACUGUCAAGUCCCAAGCCCUGGUCAAUUUCAUUGCCGAAUGGACGGAUCUCAACGAGCCUUCCGUUCCCGAUGUCUCAGACCACUGGUCAAUGUUCUUUGAUGGGUCCUUGAACAUCAACGGUGCAGGAGCUGGGAUAUUUUUCGUAUCACCCAACAAGGACAAACUCCGCUACGUCCUUAGGAUCCUUUUUCCGGCGUCAAACAACGUCGCUGAAUACGAAGCAUGCUUACAUGGCAUACGACUAGCCGUUGAACUGGGGGUCAAGCGCCUCUAUGUCUACGGCGACUCCGCUUUGGUCAUCAACCAGCUCAACAAGGAGUGGGACGCAACCCACGAGAAGAUGGAUCUCUACUGCAAAGAAAUUCGCAAAUGGGAAACUAACUUCUAUGGCAUAGAGUACAUCCACGUGGUCCGGGAUAAGAACCAAGCAGCAGAUGCGUUGUCAAAGUUAGGCUCAUCUCGGGCCCAAAUCCCGCGGGGUAUUUUUGUCCAGGACAUCCAUGAGCCAAGCGUAACCUCUCCCCUGGUCGACAAGCAACCCACCGAGGCAAUGCUCAUAGAUGACGCCACUCCGACAACCGGUGGGCGUGACUGGCGUACCCCGUUCAUCAAAUACAUAUCAGACGGGACAGGCUCUCAGGACAAAACAGAGAACGAGCGCCUCAUCCGACGAUCAAAGAACUACAUCCUGGUCGACGGAAAACUCAUGCGGAAAAACGCAAGCUCUGAAGUACUGCUCAAGUGCAUACCCCAAGAUGAUGGUAUCAAGCUCUUGGAGGACAUACACGCUGGAUCCUGCGGCAAUCACGCCGCAUCUAGAACGCUGGUCGGAAAGGCUUUCCGAGCAGGUUUUUAUUGGCCAACCGCGGUCGGCGACGCAGAAAAACUGGUUCGGCAUUGCGAAGGAUGUCAGUUUUUCGCUAAGAGGACCCACGUACCUGCCCAUGAAAUUCAAACUAUCCCGUCGUCUUGGCCCUUUGCUUGCUGGGGGCUUGACAUGAUCGGACCAUUUAAACCAGCCCCGGGCAAUUUCAAGUUUGUCUUCGUGCUAAUCGACAAGUUCUCCAAGUGGAUUGAAUACAUGCCCCUGGCCAAGGCAACCUCCGAGAAGGCUGUGGAGUUUCUCAAUCAAAUCAUACACAGAUUCGGCAUCCCGAAUAGCAUAAUCACCGACCUGGGCACUCAGUUUACUGGCACCACUUUUUGGGAUUUCUGCGAUGACAGAGGCAUAGUCAUAAAAUAUGUGUCAGUGGCACAUCCACGUGCCAACGGUCAAGUCGAACGUGCUAACGGAAUGAUCGUUGACGCCCUAAAGAAGAGGCUGUACACCGAAAACGACAGAGCACCCGGUCGAUGGAUGAGAGAAUUGCCGGCAGUAGUCUGGGGCCUCCGAACCCAGACCAGUCGAAACACAGGGGUGUCUCCCUACUUCAUGGUAUACGGUGCAGAGGCGGUCCUGCCGUCUGACAUACACUUCGGAUCUCCUAGAAUCGAGCACUUCGACCAGGCGACUGCCGACAACGCCAGAGAACUCGAAAUCAAUUGCAUGGAGGAAAAGCGUUUAGUUUCAUGUCUCCGAACAGCAAAAUAUCUCGCGGCAGUCAGGCGAUACUACAACAGGAACGUCAAGGACCGUUCCUUCGUGGUCGGCGAUCUGGUGCUUCGAUGGAAAACAAGCCAGGAGGGAAUGCACAAGUUAUCCACUCCUUGGGAAGGACCCUUCGUGGUGACCGAGGUCACACGACCUACGUCCUACAGAUUGGCAUACCCAGACGGAACACGAGUGCCUAACUCUUGGCACAUCGACAAACUGCGACGUUUCUAUCCAUAAAGUUUUAAUGACUUUCUUUUGUAAGUAUCUUAUAAUUUUUGAUAAUGAAAUUCUCUAUUUUUCGCCUCUACCUUGUCAUACACAGCACUCGGCAAAACUCCUGCAAUGGAUGCUCUUGGCGACAACCAAGACAAAUACGGUGACACGUCACUCAGAUAUUUUUACAGCGCUCAAAACAACAGUCAUGACAAAAAGAAAACUUUAUUACAAACUUUACAUACAAAGUUUACAAUAAAUACCCUGACGGGCAGAUACUAGUCUAUUCCUACAGACUACUUUAUUGGCCUAGCUGCUCGGGCUGAUCACCCGCCUGGCCCUGCUGCCCGGACGAAGGGGUCGGGGCCACCGGCGCAUGGCUGGUCGAGACCGCAGGCGUCGACCGCCCAUCUCCAGCAACGGACGCGCCCGACAACUCCCUGGCCGACCUAUCUGAGCUCGGCUGGUCUGGAGGAGUGGCCGUUCCGCACAGAUUGAUGUCGCCGAUCAUUGUCGACGACAAGUCCAGCAGACUACCCCGAAGUUCGUCCGCUUCCUGUGGGCCGACUUCCUUCGGGUACCCCUUCUCCAGCCUGCUCAAGUCGACCAGGGGGUAGUGGGCGCGCACCAUGCUGAGGACGUGCGCACCGGCAAACUCCCCGGCGUCCUUCACAAACUGCUGGAGCCAGUCCCACGCCCGUUGCGCCUUCUCGACCGGGGUCAACUGCGGCGCGCGGGGCUGGCUCUCCGGGAGCUCGGGACUGAUCAGGUCUAGGACCGGGGACACUCCUUUCCAGAUCCUGCAACAGUUGGCCUUCCAGGAGUCCCGGUCCUUGAUCAGAUCAUCCAGGUGCCUUUUGGCGUUAACCUUGAGAACUGCAAACGAAACGAAGCGUUAUUUUCGGCAUACCAAACAAACAAAGGGGCAGGCAGCAACCAACAAGGCGGCACCCAUUACCAGAUAGCUCCCGGUCUUUUCGACCCAAUUCCUCUUCUGCUCGCCGCCCGGACUCCAGCGCACCGGCGAGCUGUUGGCUGAGCUGCUCCUUCUCUUGUUGGAGGCUCGCCACCUCCUCCUCCAAGUCUGCGUGAAUCCUAAACUGGUCAGCAAAGCAAACUAUACAAGUACGCGAAGCUGCUCGGAGCGUGUGACUAACCUUCUUGCAGCCGGUACUGGUCGGCCAAACGACGAGUGAGGUCGAGACGACGCUCCUUUUCGGCACUCAUCUCGACCACCUUCUCCCCGACCUCCGCCCGCAACCGGUCUACCUCCGCGGCAAGGGCCUUGUUCUCGGCCAUGACGCCUUCUAUCUGGUCAAAGCACCGUUUCCGGUACUUCGCCGUUUUCAUUGCGUCCUACAAAGCAAGCAUAUAACGACCAUGCAAGACAAGGCAAAAGAAUGUGCAUCAGUGCAAAAAGCCGCUUACCUUGACUUCGUCGACGAGGCGCUUGGCCGCGCGCUCCACCCUGGCAGCCUCUUCGGUCUCGGCGAGCUCCUCAUGCCCGAUGAAGUGAUCCCCGCGUUGGCGCCACACAUACACGUGUUGGCGGCCAUCACAGGGACGACCCUCGAUCUCUUCCACUUCAUCAUCGGAGGCCGCCCGGGUUUCCUCCUCCUGUGCUGCGUCACCCCCGGUGGCGGUCCCAGGUAUUACUGGCCCUUGGACCAGACCUGGGGAGCCCGCAGCAGAGGAGGCUCCUGCUCGGGGCGGCGUGGGGACUUCACUCCCCCCGGCAGGAGGAGCGGUCGGAGAUCUUCCCUUCUCUGAGGAGUCAGUUGGGGGAGCCUCUCCAGCCCUGGUCGGGCUUCUUGUCGUAGUCGGUGCCGCGCUCGGGAGCCCCUCGGUGCUCCCAGGCGCGACUGCAGCUGUUGGCUGCUCUGUGGUCUGGGGGGCCGCAUCCCCAGAACCGCGGGCAGGCUCGCCCAUCCCUUGGCUGGCAACCUGGCCGGGGUCGACAUCCGACGCCGCACUACAGGAACAAAAGUCAAAUUUCAAAAAAAAUCAAAGAGGAGUCCAAAAAUACGUAAGUCGAACACUUACAGGUCUGAUCGACGGUGGGUGGCGGUGAACCUCCUCCUCGCCCGGCCGGCCGGCACCUGCGCCCCCGUCUCGACAACUUGCGGUGCAGGGGCGUCGCCGGCCACUCGAUCAGUAGCGGCCGGCGCAUUAUCUGGGCGACCCCGGGGCCGUCGGACCAACGACGGCGCAGCCUCCUCGUCGUCGUCGUCGUCGUCGUCAACGAUCCGCACGAGCCGACGACGCUUCGGUGCUUGGCUGUUCUCCGCCGGAACAUCCGCCGGCAAAGGGUCUGCUGGCAAUGGCCUCUUCCCCGCUACCCUCUCCUCGGAGGUCGGGUUGGGGCGGGCUUGGUCCUCUUCACUGCUGGUGUAAUGAGUACACCGAGCAGCGUCCUCCUCUGGCGGGUCCUCUCCCGCAGGAUUUUCCAUCCCCGGCGCCAGUGAUACAUACACUGUGCACCGGUCGACACCGCCGAUCUGCAAAAGCAACAGAGAUGAGUCAACUGCCGACGAUAUACGAAUGCUAAAACAGAAUCUGCUACAUACCUUUGGUGCUGGUCGUCCUAACUUGAAGGCUUGCACCCGAUCACUGCCAUGGAUGAAGCCUCCGUCCGCGAAGUUAAACAGCUCGUUCUCCAAGAUCUCCGACCGCAUCCUGGUCGGGUAUGCGCUUCCGGCAUACUCGUACGCCGAGUGCACCCUCUUCUGGCAGGGCAUCACCCGGCGGCAAAUGAAGUUGCCGACCACGCCAAGCCCGUCCAGGCGCGACCAGUCGAUCAGCUUCAUGAGAUCCGCCACUGGACCGUCGAACUCCGGGCGGUCGGUCCAGCUCGUCCUCUUCUCAGGAAUAUAUCCCACGUCGCAGAACGUGGAGCUGCCCGGUUCCUCCCUGAUGUAGAACCACUUCCUGUACCACUCGGUCAAGGAAGUGUUCCAUGGACAGUGCAGGUAGCGAUUCUUCAUUCCAUCACGAAGGUUGAGGUAUACUCCACCUGCAACCUUGGAGCUUCCAACUGCUCCCUUCUUCCUCAAGCAGAAAAGAUACCGGAAAAGAUCGAAGUGCGGCUCUAUGCCAACAUAGGCCACGCACAUAUGGAUAAAGGUGGAAAUGAGGAGAAUUGAGUUCGGGUGCAGAUUGCAAAUCCCGAUCUCAUAAUACAAAAGAAGACCUUGAAGAAAAGGAUGAACGGGAACACCAAAACCCCUCUUAAUGAAAUCUUCAAAUACGACGAUCUCACCGGCGCGAGGGUCGGGGUAGCUCUCCCCCUCCGGUGCCCUCCAGCCGCCGAGCUCCGGGCCGUGCAGAAGCCCCAUGUCGACGAGGUCGCCAAGAGAUUUUGUGGUGCUGCGAGACUUCUUCCACUCCUUGGCCAUCAGUUCGGCCCUCUUCCUGGAGUCGCUCUUCGCCAUUAGAGGAGAGAAUGUGGGCUUGAGUUAGGGAGAUGCAGGAGAUUGAAGAAGAUGAGAGCGGAAGGUUUGAAGGCAAUGGCAGCGAAAGCGGUACAGGCGGACCUAUUAGGCUCUUAUAAGCCCGCAACUCCACCUCUCCCACUUCCUGUAUUCUCGGGAAGUGGGCAGGCCAUGCGGCGGACGCGGCGUUUCGGUUUACAAUGAUUAUAGACAAUUAAUGCGGCGGAGUUUUCGUACCAAUUGAUGGUUUCCUUUUCUCAAACCAUGCAAAGGGCGGCUGUACAGUUGUCAGGUGCAACUUUUCAUGCAUCCGUCUGACACCCCGUCAGGAGGCCUCGUCACGUCAACUUUAACUGGACAGAUCUUUUCAAAAAUAAGAAGACACAUAAGCCAGUGAGUCAACAAUCCGGGGACUGCACCGACCACCGAGCACUCGACGCUCGGGGACUGGUCGUCCAGUCUAUCAGCUCGGAACUUCAAGAACUGCACCGACCACCGAGCACUCGACGCUCGGGGACUGGUCGCCCAGUCUAUCAGCUCGGACCUUCAAGGACUGUGCCGACCACCGAGCACUCGACGCUCGGGGACUGGUCGCCCAGUCUAUCAGCUCGGACCUUCAAGGACUGCACCGACCACCGAGCAAUAUACGCUCGGGGACUGGUCGACCAGCUCACCAAUUUAUGAACUUGGGGACUGCACCGACCACCGAGCACUAUACGCUCGGGGACUGGUCGACCAGCCCACCAAUUUGAGAAUUCUAAGGAGCGCACUUGGUGCUUGGGGACUGGUCGAUUAGUCUAUUCAAUUGCAGACGGACUGGUAAAUUCAGUUAUUUAGACCUUGCUACAAGGCUCAUACUUCGCCUUCCAGCAAGCUCGGGGACUACAUCGGUACGAUGCAUCUGGCGAUGCAUCUCAGUUACAGAAUUUCUUUGAGGACUUUUAUUUUGACCCUGGCACCACGUGCCUACGUCACCUACUACCAGGCUCGGGGACUAAGUGGGCACACUUCACCUAGCGGUGAAUUCGCUAGCUUUUUUGAUGUUUAUACCUUUCAAAAAGGUAAAGUGGGCACACUUCACCAGGAAAGAAAUCUUUUUUAAUUUAGAGCACCAUGCAUUCUUCGAACAACUCGCUUCUUCGAUGCCAAUGUUGAUCAACUAUCUUUUGAGUUGGUCAAAGAACCGUUGCAACUGUUUGGGCGACUUUCCCACUUAUUGAAGACGUCGAGUCUCACUGAUCGAAGAAGCUCAAGACGGCGUGUUACAUCACAAUACAUGGUGCUCGGGGACUAGCUGUGGGGGUAUAAACCCCUAUACCCUUACGGCUAGACUUCGGCCAGGAGGCUUGGCCCAUUACGAGACGAGUUCAAGGCUUGAUCCGACAACCUGGGGUUUCGCGCAAGGAAACAAGAUGUGGAGAUCAAGCAGGAUUCUAGUCGGUUAGAAUAGGAAUUGAUAUCGAAUUAUCCAUGGCAAUUGUAACCGGCUAGGAUUAGUUUCCAGAUCUGUAACCCUGCCCUCCAGACUAUAUAAGGAGGGGCAAGGGACCCCCCUAGGACAUCAUAUUCUCUCAACACAAAUCAAUACAACCAGACGCAGGACGCAGGUAUUACGCCAACUCGGCGGCCGAACCUGGAUAAAAAGCUUGUCCGUGUCUUGCGUCACCAUCGAGUUCGUAGUUUGCGCACCGUCUACCGAUAAACUACUACCGUGGGUAUACCCCAAGGUAGACUGCCGACUAGCUUUCGUCGACAACGACCCAGGAAUGCCAAGCAUCUAUUGCUCCAUAAAUGGAUACAACUUCUACAAAACGUUUUGUGACACCGGAUCAGGCGUCAACAUAAUGGCCACAGUCACCUAUCGGCUCUUGUUCGGAACCAUGCCCCUAAAACCAACAUACAUUCAGCUCCAGAUGGCAGAUCAGAUAUUUCGAGAGGUUAAAGUUAUAGUAACCGAUGUCCCUGUCAAAAUAGAAGAUCAUUUUGUCUACACAGACUUUUAGGUUAUUGACAUGGGAGAAGACGAAUACGAUCCACCCAUCAUCCUUGGAAGACCGUUCCUCAGCAUCGUUAAAGCAAUAAUCUACAUUGGAACUGGAGAAAUCCAUAUGCACUUCCCCUCAGAGAAGGUACGCCGCUGUUUUACUGACCCUAACUAUAUCGUUGAAGACUCUAAGCAGGUCAGAAAAUGACGCAACCGCAACCAAAGGAGGCAAAUCAUCAAGGAUGGAUCGGCAGACUAUGAAGGAGAAGUUGUAAGGUCAGAAGACAUACAGUUUAAACAGAAUUAUCCAGAGGAAACCAUAGCACCAAGUCAGGUGUGGAGAGAGAAGAUAACUAUACAUGAAGAGGAGGCGCUGCCGGAAGCACCGACUACGCCACCCAACGAAUCCCAGGACGACUGAGAAAACGGAGAGUCCCGUUCAGAGGACUUAAAAAUACCGAACGCCUUGCCAAGAGGUAAACUUGGUAGUUAUCUUUUUUUCGUUUCAAUUAUUUUAAAAUAUUUUACUUAGUUAAUCAUGUUCGUACUAUCCUAAAAAGAAAAUAAAAAUGUUAAAAAAAUAGUAAGCCCCAUGUGAGCAUACGAGUGACAUAAAACCCAUAAGUACAUUCACUGUGGUGGCAUAAAAAUAAAAUAAAUAUUUCUUUUCUGCUUUAUAACAUGAAAAUAUAAAAAAAUAGAGAGUAAUAUUUAUUGAGGAGGCUCAACAUGAUAAAGGCUAGAUAUUUAUGCUAACACUUAAUCAGUUCCACAAAGCUUUGUUGUCUAUUUGAGCUCCACAGAAUCUAAGAAUCAAGAAGACUAGCAUAAGGACAUUCUAAUCGCUGUCAGAAUAGUGCCGACUUCAAAUACACCUCUGCCACCUGCUAGCUACAUCAGAAGAAAUUACGUCAAAAUUCAGCUUGGGGGAGAGCACCCCUAUUUAUCCCGAUAAGUAUUUCUAUCUAUCUAUAUACUUAUAUUAUAUUAGAAUAUAAAUAUACAUAACUAUGGAAAACCAAAUAAAGAUUUUAUGCUUAUAUAUAUGUCUUUUGCUUAGUGUGUUUAAUAAAUGAAUAACGUGGCUAUGCUAAACUGAAUCUUAAUAAUAAACCUCUAGCAUGGAUAUGAUGAAUAGUUGCUCUGCCUAAUUUUCAAAUUUGAGUUUUCUCUCAAGUUUAGACAUAACUGUUAUAAUUUAAAGCUUGCUCUAAACCUAAACUUGUGGGAAGAAAACUUGAUUUGAAGUCUAAGUUGUUAAUGGAUACAAUAUGAGAAGGUUGAGCUACUGUUUAUCUGUUCCUAGAGAUGCUAGAAUUCUGGAGAGUUUUAUCUUUGAAAAUCUUUAAAAUAAUACAUGAUGAGUUCCUGUAUGAUGAGAGUUUAAAUUCCUACCACAGCCAUAUAUACAUGCUUGCUAGACUUUGAGCCACACAUUUACUAUUUACUGCUUAUGAGCAUUGAGUGUUGUCAAGCUGUGUAGACACUUAGGAGCUUGUCAUGUGGUUAAAUCAAGAUUCACUUGCACGUCCACUCACACAUGCUGCUUCUACUCCGGAAAUACGCAUCCACAUAUAUCCACCCAUUUUCAUCUCCAGAACCACCCAAAAAUAUUCUACUCCUAAUCCGGGAGAGAAUAGCCAAAAAAAUUUCUGUUUUUCCUUGUGAAAUAAAUGCUCAAGUUAUCUUGUUACUACCACUUGCUAUAUUAUCUCAAGAGAUGAGUGCUCUAAAAAAAGAUACGAGGAAAUAAAAAGGGGCAAGUGCCCGAAACCUCGAAAGAAAAGAAAAAAGUAAGACGAGAGGUAAAAAUGGACAAGUGUCCAACAGUAGAAUUAGGGGUACAAGAUACCCACCUAAGAUAAAAGAAAAAUAAAAAAAAUACAGAGCAUCUCAUUCUCCUCACAAAGUUUCAAAGAGCAAGAAAGGUAUGUAUCCUCUCAAAAGAGCAAAAGUAGAAUUAGACUGUCACCAUUGUUAUCACCAUCAUCACCAUACACCAUUCAUUCGCCACACAUGCACAUCUUGAUUUGACUUAUUAAUUUGUUUCUUUGGAUCCACGGUUUGACUAUACAAUAAAUGUCUUGUAAGUAUGUAUAUUUUAUCUCCAACCUAUGAGCUCCAGAUAUUAAAGCCUUAUUAGAGUAGGGUGAGAGAGAAGGCAAUAUCACUAUGCCUUAUACCACAAAUACCACAUACUUUGAGAGAAGGCAUAUACCAUUACUGCCUUGGUAAGGAUCCAGAAAUACCACAAAAGAGAGAUCUGAGAGAGUCAUACAAAGAAUCUCUGAGUUUUAUUUGAAAAUCUGCAAAAACUCCAGAGCUAUAGCUGAUCAAGAAUAAGAGACAUGGCACUUGACUAGACUGUUCUAUCUUUUAACUACUCAAGACAGAAGUGACGGUUACAAGUCCCAUGGUGAAAGGUAAAGUAAGUAAGUUUUAAGUCUUGACAGUUUACUCUAACUCAGAGAUGAGAUCUUAUUUAAAAGCAUGUGUACCAUCAAUUUUUAAAGAUAUUGCAACAACUUCUAAUCCAUCGCUGAGAUUAUCCUUGCUUAGGGACGAGCAAGAGGUAAGCUUGAGGGAGUUUGUUGACGGUCCUUAAGUAUCAAACUUAAUUAUCAAAUAAACAAAGAAAAGGAUCCAAAUGCAAUCAACUUCUAGACUUAGGGUUUUAUCUGAAAGAAUUCCACGAGUUUUGGUGUUUGUCUAUUUCUACAGGGGGUUAUCAGGAAAUACAGAAGAAAGGCCCACACGUCGGGAUUACAUAGAGAUAUCAACGUGCCGCGCAAUUAUCUUACAUCUAGAAGACUCCAGAAGCCACGAGAACGAAGCAGAGGCCGAACCGGGCCUGGCCCAGGGCGCCCGCCCUGAGGACCAGGGCGCCCGCCCCCCUUUAGAGUCCAAUCAGAACUCUCUUUCGGGAUCAAGCUCCACCGACCUAAAGGACCAAGGAUAACCGUUCAAUCAAUGUCGGUUUGAUCCGACGGCCCAUAUUCACUCUUAGGGACUAUAAAACCAGACACCCUGGCCCCUGGAGGAGAGAGCCUCUCAACCCUAAUUCAUUAUUCAUCAAGGGAGAAGAAGCCUCUGAUCAAGCCUAGAGCCACCACAUCAAUUAGACAUCUAGAUUAGCAUAGCUACAUAGGAUUAGAACUAGAAGGAGUCAAUCUUCGAUUUGUUUCCGGAUCUGCCAGGAGGAUUCUUUGUAAUUUUCUAAUUGUUCAUCUUUGUUCUUCAAUAUUAUGAAUAUGACUUUGUUCUACUUCAAUAUAUUGCUUAUGACUUUGCUCUACUUGUUUAUAUUCAAGAUUAUAUUGUUCUUAGUUUAUCAUGGUUAUAUACUUGGCUUAGUUAGAUUGGAAUUAUAUACUUGUUUAGGAUUGUAUAGCGUUUAUCCAUCGGACCCAUGGGUAAAUGAUAGAUAUUGUGUAGGUGUGGUGCUUAUACCGUAUUUAUCUGCGAUUGUACCCAAUAUGCCAGAUCGCGGGGUAGUUCGUGAUAGUGACAGCUUCAUUGAUUCUUAUAUAGUCCCCC
Molecule: long non-coding RNA, 47865 nt
Filed under: Sorghum bicolor (sorghum)
Lineage: Eukaryota; Viridiplantae; Streptophyta; Magnoliopsida; Poales; Poaceae
Description: long non-coding RNA (SBIC_LNC015774)
Source: RNAcentral